AGUAAGAGUACCAAGUAUAUAUAUGUAUCUCUAGCAUAGGAAAAUGACUGGAGUGUUUCCCCAAAGUAGAUUUGUCUGUUGUGGGGGCCAUGGCAGUAUUCCAAUGGAACUGUAUGUGUACCAAAAACCAUUUCUUUCAUCUUGGCCUCGAUUCGCCUGAUGUGCCGGAAAAAGUGAAGUGUGAUGUCCCGACUGAAUCAUGUUCGUUUUCUGAGCAUAACGAGCUUUUGCUUGGUGUCUAAAUCUAGAUCACUCGAACACGCUUGUUUGUUCUCUGCGSUMCKAGSUUCUAGAACCCAAGCCGUCAGAACUUGCUUUGAUCCAACAGAUAUCAAUAUGUAAGUGGUGUCCUUGUCUUCGGCCAAAAUGUCGGCAGAACUGACACUAGAGUUGCAUGAUUUAUCUGCUAAUGUGUAAGUCUUUGGGACGAAGCACGUAUCUCUCACAGCUGACCCACCAACAUGCUCCCCCAGCAGCUUGGAUGAACACCAUCUUCCAUCACUACUAGCGGAGUACCUGUAACAAAGAUCAACAACAAAAUAUAUAAUAUGAUUCAUAACAGCACCUGAAAUGGACAGGUAUAUUGCAACCAAAAAUACCAGGGGCUAUACUAAACACCCAAGAACAACUCCCUAGUUGACAACUUAAUCAAACGAAGCACGGAAUAAAUCCUACGAAUUAAACAAAAGGGCAUCACGGCAAAAUAUCGCACGAACUAACUUGCUCAAAAAGCUAAAACUAAUUGCACAGAAAAAUCCCAUGGAUUUUUUCUACCCCGAAAACAUAUAAAAUAUGUGGGGUUGCACAACAAUAUAAUGCUACACGAAAAUGCGAGAAAAUAACCUAUACACGGGAAAAUAAACUAUCGGCAAACCCUACACGCAAAAAUGUCAAUGACCGCUCUAAAAUACAUGGAAAAAUGGUUUCUAAAACAUGGGCAUUUAUGCUACGGCAUUCGGGCUAUUCGAACAUGCGCGGAAAAAUAUACGGGAAAGAAGACAUAAAAUGGCAUCUCAUACACUAUUUCAGACUUGGUGAAAAUUACACCUCAUGAAAGUGCAGUUUACGAUCUGAAGCCAUAUUGACAGCAGCAAAACCUAUAGCUACAGGACUCCAGAUGGCAUGAAAAUUGACAACAUGCUAGAGAAACACAAGGGCUACAACUAACUCCAUUGGACCAACCUCAAAAGAGCUACAGAACAAAAGAUACAAGCAAGACAAGACAACAACAAAACAUACUGUCAACCUGACAUAAAACAAAGAGCUCAGACUAGCUCGUAGNNNNNNNNNNNNNNNNNNNNNNNNNNNNNNNNNNNNNNNNNNNNNNNNNNNNNNNNNNNNNNNNNNNNNNNNNNNNNNNNNNNNNNNNNNNNNNNNNNNNAUGGUUCGAGAUUUGAACGCACGGUUUAGAAGAUAAAAUAUUUUAAAAAUUCAGAUCAAUGAAAAAAGAAAACUUCUAGAUUGCAACAAAUGGCACACAUGCAAUGUGCCACAUGUUUCACCUAAAAAGGUGAAAAUGAAAUUUGGAAGGAGUACUACUCAAUUACAGAUUUCGAAAGGAAGGACUGGGAGUGGGUGAUCGAACCCUGGGUCUUCAAGGUGGAAGCAAAAAAACCAACCAGUUGGGAUGGUUACAAACGUAUGAUUUACUAGCAAAAGAGCCCGCCUUCUAAUGCUGCACGAUAGAAAACACAUAAACAUUAACACACCAAGUGUAGGUAAACGUGUGAAAACAUACUGAAUUAAUAAAAAUAUGCUAAUAAUAUAAAACACCUCUUAAAGUGGCCUGUSUACGAGYAGCUGUGCUCAUUGUGUUAACUACUUAGUCAUGAUGGAGCUUAACACAUAAGCACUGUUCUAUUUUUUAACAUUGGGAGGGAGGGAGAGAAUAGCAGAAGGCUGGUGGAGAAAACAGGGUUUCAAAUGAAGCCCAAAAACAUAUAUGUCUGUCUCGAAUCAAGCAGCAUUUUAGUAGGAAUUGUCUAAUGGCACUUGGAUAUUUUAAAGAAACUGUUAUCAAUGUAGUUUGAUGAAGAAAUAUGAUGUAGUUUGAUGUAGUUUGAUGAAGAAACAUGAUGUAGUUUGAUGAAGAAACAUGAUGUAGUUUGAUAAAGAACCAUGAUGUAGUUUCACCCGCGGACGUUUUUUCUUUAAAUUUUACAGUUUCAUAUACGGNNNNNNNNNNNNNNNNNNNNNNNNNNNNNNNNNNNNNNNNNNNNNNNNNNNNNNNNNNNNNNNNNNNNNNNNNNNNNNNNNNNNNNNNNNNNNNNNNNNNUCUAAUCUAGAGAAGAGAGAUUCCAAGGGCCAAGAUUCAUCUAUUCUUGUCACGAGCAAGAAACUGUUAGCUGAUCCUGCUGCUUCUGCCGAGCCGAUUGACGGGUCUGCUGUUCUGGAAAGAGACUUAAUGGCUGCUGAUUCAAAUGUCCAAAAAGAACUGUGCAGCAAGCCUACUCUUGUCACGAGUGAGAAGGUGGUGGUUGAACCUGCUUCUUGUGCUGAUGUCUCUGAUGUCUUGGAAUCAGUAUUUAACCUCGAGAAAACAGGUUUGGAAGGUGAACAUUCAAAUAUUCAGAAGGAAUUGUAUGAGGAGUCUGCUCUGGUCACAAGGGAGAACGUGGYWACUGAKCCUGCCAUCUGCGCUGGGUCAGUACAUGUGUCUGAUGUCCUGGAACCAGUAUUUGACUUGGAGAAGACAUAUUUGGGAGGUGAAGGUUCAGAUAUUCAAAAAGAAUUGCAUGAAGGGUCUACUCUUGUUACAAGAGAGUACAUGGCGGUUAAUCCCGCCCCUUGCCCCGAGUCGACAGAUGUGUCUUUAACAGAACAAAAUCGUGGAACUUUGUGCAUGGAUACGCUAGCAGCAAUAGAGCAAUUCAUGACCGCUUCACCGGAGGAAGAACCACAAUGCUCUAGCCCCAAGGUUCCAAAGCGGUGCCUUCAAGAAGGGAACGACGCCUUGAGCGCCGCCGCCGUCCAACAAAGUUAAGGCUUUCGCCCGNNNNNNNNNNNNNNNNNNNNNNNNNNNNNNNNNNNNNNNNNNNNNNNNNNNNNNNNNNNNNNNNNNNNNNNNNNNNNNNNNNNNNNNNNNNNNNNNNNNNAAUAUAUCCUUCCUCUUGCAAGACGAACUAGCGGCGUUCACAAUCAUCGUCACAUAUCCAAAGAAAUCCUCAAUGGAAGAACAACAUCUCGAGACAGCAACAACUACAAGCUGCAAUCGAUGGGCAAAACAAUGCAUAUAGAAAGCAUAUGGGUUUUCAUCUCGGACAAGUUCUAUGUGCAAGCAUCAAACCACCAAUUUUUUUUGAUUACUAGUAGAAACAACAGGUGUAUCGUGGAGAAGAUAAAUACGUUGUUGGUAGACAUGUCGCCAAAAAGUAGGCCCGUGAUUGUUGUAGAACCAAAUAACAUUGCCAGUAGUGUACAUGGGAGGCUAYGAKCAUUGUCUACGAAAUGGAAAUGUGAUCAACAUCGUUGGAGGUAGAAUGACAACAUUUUCACAGGUUUUGAUGCAGAGUUGGUACUAGCUGGUCUAGCACACAGAAGUGGAAUAUAAAUAGAAAAAAAAGUUAGCUCAUGCCAUGGCAACCCAAUAGUGGACUUUGUAGGCAUCAUCUCUAAAGGGGGCGAACCUUCCACUGUCAUUUUAGGAGGUAGUUGUAUACAGUAUACUAGUAAGUUGUUAGCAGGUGGCGAAGACUCAACCCAAUGAACGUUGAAGCUCGCGGUGGUUAUCGUUAUGUUCUCACUCUCACCGAUGAUUUGAGUAGGUAUGGGUAUAUCUACUUGAUGAAGCACAAAUCUGAGACGUUUGAAAAGUUCAAGGAAUUUCAGAGUGAGGUUGAGAAUCAACGUGACAGAAAAAUUAAAUGUCUACGAUCUGAUCGUGGAGGAGAAUAUUUGAGUNNNNNNNNNNNNNNNNNNNNNNNNNNNNNNNNNNNNNNNNNNNNNNNNNNNNNNNNNNNNNNNNNNNNNNNNNNNNNNNNNNNNNNNNNNNNNNNNNNNNAGGAUCAAUAUUGCUCUGAGUAUUUCUCUGUUGCCAAAUUUAUGGUUGCUUAUGCUGACAAUGUGCCUGCACUAUUGGGGAAAGAUCAAUGGAACAUAGUAGAUCCAGGGUUCAAACUCCACGCUCUUGUCAUUACUAGACCACCAGGAAGACCAAGGAACCAGAGGAUUAGAGCAGGUGAGGAGGGUCGUCUACCAAAGAAACGUGCUUGCAAAAAAUGUGGAGUUCUAGGGCAUAUUGCUAGGCUUUGUACCAAUGCAGUGGAUGCAUCAUUUGGAGAGGAGGAAAGAUGGACAUCAGCCAAUGCUGAGGAGAAUGCAACAGCAAUGGAGAUUGAAGAUGCAGUGGAGAAUGCAGCAGCAAUGGAGAUUGAAUAUGCAGUGGAGAAUGCAGCAGCAAUGGAGAUUGAAGAUGGAGUGGAGAAUGCAGCAGCAAAUGAAAUAGAAGAUUUUGAAACCAUGGCCUUUGAUGGUUUUGAAGCUAUAAGAGAGGAAGAGGAGGGGUAAUUGUUCCAAUUGUGCCUUUAAAGAUUACUGAACCCAUAGAUGACCGUCAAAUGGUCGUCAAGUGCUCGGCGAGUGGAACUACUCCAUCAGCACCUCCACGGGGAAAACACCAAGUAAAGCCCAAGAUCAAAAGGAACAAGAGUGUGAAAGAAAAGAGCAUCUCAACUAGGGAAACCAGGAGCAAGACUGUGAAGCCAGCUACAAACACAAAGAGCAAGUCAAAAUUUUGAAUUAAGUUGUUGGAAAAUGUUUGUGUUGUCAAUUUGAGGGCGAGUCGAUCACUUAAAACUUGGUAGAUUUGUAUUAAGAUGUUGGCAUCUUAAAACUUGGUAGCUUUGAGCUACUGUAAUAAUGUUGGCAUCAGUUGUACUAAUGUUGGCAUCAGUUGUAAUAAUGUUGCUUCUACUUUGGUUCCUUAUUUGAGUCAAAAUUCAAAUUUCCAUCAAAAUUUGAAUUUAAAUCAAUAUUUGAAUUUGGGCCAAAAUUUGGAUUCGAGCCAAAGUUGAAGUUGAACAUUGGAGGUUCAUUGCUCUGUGCGGUGUAUUUGAUCGAGCAUUUCAAGUCCAAUAUUCUUAGGUGAACAGUCCGAAUGAGAAAUGUGCUAGAAACGAGCUCGAAAGCUAGGGUAAACAGCCCUAUUUGAAAUCAAGUUUUUUUUAACCUUCCCUAAAUGAGACAUAUAUAUUUUUAUUAACACUUAUUCCAUAUAUAUAGGGUAAAAACGAAGUCUCACUAUUUAUUGAUUAAUAUUCAUAUUACUACAUUUUUUUGAAAAAAUAUGUUUUUAAUUCAAAAUCGUUAAAUAACACGUUUUAGAUAUGAAAAUGAAAAAGUAAGUUCAGAUCCUUCUUAUUCACUCCAAAAUGAAGCUAUGGAGAUUUUUCUGAUUUUUUUUGAAUUUUUUUUCAAACCCUAAACCCUCUCUCCCUAUUCUACGAACUCUAAAAAUGUUCAUAGGUGAUAACUCAUUUUUGUGAAGGCUUUUUUCAUGAAAAUGACCUACACCAAGUUUAUAUUUUUUUUCUCAUAACCUGGUCACAUAUGACGGUAUGUGCGUAAAAAUUACAACAUUUUGAUUUUUUUUGAAUUUUUUAAAAACAUUUGAACUUGAUUUUGACAGGUCACUUCAAAAAAUGACUUUUCAAAAAAACGCCCCUAUACCGAGUUUAUAUUUUUUUAUGGUAACUAGGUCUCAUAAACAGACGAACUACAUUUGUUUUAUAUUUUUGCGAUUUUUUCUAAUUUAGUUAUGGCCAUUUGAAAUCUGGUCAAACCCUAAUAACCCCGUUGACUCGCCCAUAAACCCGCAAAAAUGCUCCAAACCCUAGCGUCGAACGUCCGUCGUCGGAUCAUACCCUAGCGCCAAACACCACCCGUCAGAUGUGGGCAGGCAUGCGCGAUCCGCGUGAUGCAUCCUGAUUGGCUACUGCACUGACCUUCUCGGGUUUUUACGAUCUGCCCCACUUUACAUAUGAAAUUGUAUUUUUCGCACAUGACCACCACAUGUCAGUGUUAAGAGUUGGUUCAAAUAUUCAAACUGCAAAAUACAAUGUGGCAAAUCGUCAAUAUAGCUUCCCCUUCUCCUCUCUCCAUGUAACAGACAAAGGCAUCGAGCAGAUCGAGCAAUUCCUUUGUUUCUUUCCCCAUCUUCUCGUUCUUCUUCCUCUCGACCAAUUCCUCUGUUUUUUCCUCUCGGGCGAUAUGUCGACCUCCUCGUCAGCCCCCCGUUCCACGUGGCCGGUGUAUGGUCCAGUGCCGAUGACUCGAUGCACUGACUGCCCAUGGAUUGCACCACUGAAGCGGUUGACUUCGAAGGAGGAGAAGAAUGGGAACUUUGGGUGCGAGUUCGUCAAAUGCGAGAGCAAGCCGGAGGGGCAGGUUAGAUCUGAGUUUUCCUCGCAUCCUUUAUCUCUGUUAGAUUUGGAUUUAGGUUACAUGAUUUCAUUUCCAGAUCGUGAAGAAAUGCCACCAUUUUGAGUGGAUGGAUGAUUACAUCCAGAGGCUUCAAGGGUUGGGCUUGCUGGAUUCGAGGGGGGAUGCAAUCCGCGAGUUCAAUCUGCCCCAUGACAGUGCCGCUCCGGCAGCAGUAGUGCGUCCGGAAUACCCGACAGUGGUAGAUGUCGAACAGAAGACGGAAUUGAAGAAGAUGAACAAGAACUUCAAGCAGCUGAUUGAGUUGAAGAAGCAAUCCAAUUUGAUAGCUUUAGGAAUACUUGCUCUAGGAAUUUUUUACUUGAUGGCCAUCUCUCAUUAGAGAUGUUUGUCUACUGUUGUUGCAACUGUUUAGCAAUCCUCGUCUGUUUAUCUCAAAUGCAACUCUGUUUAGUGCAACUGUCGAUCUCUGAAUGUAUGCAGUUUACUGUUAAGUUUCGACACUUUCAGUUUCAACAGAAGACAACUACCAGUUCAGUGAUAGGAUUAUUUCGUUAGCUAAUAACCUCGAGUGUUGGGUCAUACCCUAGCUCGUCAGAUGACAGUAAGCAGUACUUGAGCAGCACGAGGGAUAUACAUCAAGUUCAUCUCUUCUCUCUCGCACUUGCCAAACUUUUGUCCUCGAGUUCGUCAGUUCUGCUAGAAAAAAACCUAGUUUGCGGGCCCAAAGAGAAUCAAGCUGCAAUAGGCCCACAAAGGAUAAAUGAGGCCCAGAAACAAGUGAUGUUUCUUUUUUUGUUUAGGAACGAUUGCUUUGUUCUUUUUUGUUUUUUGAUUGCUUUUUUCAUUAAUUUGAUUGCCCAAUCUCUUCUAUCUCAUUGAGGAAUUAUUUUGGCUUUCCUUUAUGGGUCCCUUCAUUUAUCCUUUUGACUAAAGCCAAACAUCUCAAAGUGUAGUUUUCUACAUAGUGUAAUUUAUACUUCAUGUUUGGAAAAAGAGGUCCAACCAUACUUCAAACAUAGUGUAGUUUUCUACAUAUUAAAGUAGGGAUUAAAGUACAUAAAACUACACUUUUGACUAAAGCCAAACAUCUCAAAGUAUUUGAUACUUCAAUAUUUCUGAAAACCAAAGUAUUCUUGGAACACCUAAAAAAUAGAGAGCUCAGCAAACCAAAGCCGUGUACAAAUGUACAAUAUGUUCUUAUUUUUAGAAGGCAUCUAUAAACACAUCAUUUUUAGUUAAUUUGGUUAAUUUUUCCCACGCCAAUUAGCCGUGUCUAAACUUGGGACAAACAAAAUACAAACAUAACAAAGCAUUAAUAUAACACACAUAACUUAACUUAGAUAGGGUUGCUAGGGCAACAUAUAUAAGUUCUUGGGACAUAGACACCAAUUUCUUACAUAGAUAAUAAUAAUUAGUAGCUAGGUCGGGCAACACACACACCAAACUAAUACUACAUACUACUAGAUAGGGUAGCUAGGGCAACACCGCCAUGUCUUCACCGUCGUCUUCACCUUAACCGUCGGCUUCACCGUCUUCUUCGCCGCCGGCUUCAGUAAUCCUCCUCCUCAAGGCCGUUGUCGCCGAGGUGGUACGGGAGGCUGUGCAUGCGGUCGCGAGCGGGGAAGAUGCUCUCGAAGUCGAUGAAGAUGUUAUAGGUGGUGAAUGCGAUGAACUCACACCCACACCAAUACACCUUGCCGAGCAGGUGGUAGGCAUCGAACCUGUUGGUGAAGUGGACGACGAGCCCUACCGGUGGAGCGUUGGCGUGGGGACGCUGCUCCACGAGGUUGAACAUGGGCGGCGAGCCCGCCGGGAGGUGGUGGAAGCCUGCACGGAGGAACCCCCGUGCAAGCUCAGUGCUACCCCUCCAGCGUGAGAACGCCCACACGCGAAGCGAUUCCUCGACGACGACCUUGGCGGGGUACCGCCGUUCCGGCAUGGUGGAGGCCCUUGGAACGUUGGGCUGUAGAACUGCAUCUUGAACGCUUCGCUGAGUGGAACCGCUCUCGCUUUUGGGGGAAGAAGAGAAGUGGGAGGCGCAGAUGGAUCUGUAGAAGAAGAGGCAAUGAAGGGCAGUUUAAAUAGUCGGGGGAGACGAAGUGGGUACACGCACAAACGGCGUAGAUCGUGACUCAGUGGUGUUGUGUGAAUCGAUGCGAUCAUCAAUGUGUGAACGUGAAUCGAAGCGAGCGUGCUCUGCGUUGGCGGCUCUGCGUGCUCUUCGUUGGCGGCUGCCUCCCCCUGCUGCGUUGGCGGCUGCCUGCCUCCCCCUUCUGCGUGCUCUGCGUUGGCGGCUACCCCUUCUGCAUGCCCCUUCUGCCACCGGCACAACUGAAUCGAGCGGCAGCCGUGCGGCGUGAACUGAUGCCUCGACAUAUGGACGCGAGCGUGCGAGCGUGCGUGCAGCCUGCCCCUUCUGCCACCGGCACGUAUGCCUGCGACGCGUGAAACGACGUUGCGGAGCGACUGAAUCCACUGGCAACCGUGCGACACGGAUCGAUGUGUGCGUGUCGGCGUGCAUGCAUGGGUUUAGGUCUAGGUCACUAGAUGCGUGCGUGGCGGUGUUCGCAUGCAUAGCAGGCUACAUCGAUGCCAAAUACGGGCAUGCAUAGCAGGCUACAUCGAUGCCAAAGACGGGCAUGCAUAGCAGGCUGCAUCCAUCGAUAGUAGGCUUUUUUAAUUUAUUACCAACAAACUAACGGGCCCGUCCUAUGAACACAAACACGGCCCAACCAGCGAAGCCACAGCCAUAGUCAACAGAGUUCAACAUGGCCCCACAAGUCAGUUAACGACCAAGACGGCAAACGCGUGUUAUCAACAUUUGUGAGAGUUUCAGCUAAGGGAGAGGGGAAAAGUGAGCAAAAGUUUGAAGCGUGGGGAAAACUGAGCACAACUAAGGAAUUGGGGGCACAGAUGGAAUAAGCCCAAAAAGUAAAUGCAAGAGAUGAGUUUGCGACACUUACUUGGAUGAGUUCUUGACUUGAUCCUCCCCGGCAACGACGCCAGAAAUUCUUCUGCUACGGUGACAGAAAUCCUUCUGUCGUCUCUUGAGCUUGCGUUGGUUUUUCCCAUGAAGAGGAAAGGGCGAUGCAGCACAGGAGCAGUAAGUAUUUCCCUCAGUUUGAGAAGCAAGAUAUCAAUCCAGUAGGAGAAUCGCGUCAAGUCCAGAGUACCUGCGCAAAAACAAAAGAGCUUGCACCCAAUGCUAUAAAGGGGUUGUCAAUCCCUUCAAGAUUGAUUGCAAAGUGAGAUCUGAAGGCGGAAAUUGCAAUGAAGAAAAAGAGUAAGGCUGAAAAUAUGGUGUGGAGUAGACCCGGGGGCCAUAGUGUUCACUAGAGGCUUCUCUCAAAAUAGCAAAUAUUACGGUGGGUGAACAAAUUACUGUCGAGCAAUUGAUAGAACCGCGCAAAGUCAUGACGAUAUCUAAGGCAAUGAUCAUACAUAUAGGCAUCACGUCCGAGACAAGUAGACCGAUACUUUCUGCAUCUACUACUAUUACUCCACACAUCGACCGCUAUCCAGCAUGCAUCUAGUGUAUUGAGUUCAUGACGAACAGAGUAACGCCUUAAGCAAGAUGACAUGAUGUAGAGGGAUAAUCUCAAACCAAUGAUGAAAACCCCAACUUUUUACCCUUGAUGGAAACAACACGAUGCGUGCCUCGCUACCCCUUCUAUCACUGGGUGAGGUCACCGCACGGUAUGAACCCAAAACCAAGCACUUCUCCCAUUGCAAGAAUCAUAGAUCUAGUUGGCCAGACAAAACCCACAACUCGAAGAGAAUUACAAGGAUAUGAAAUGAUGCAUAAGAGAGAUCAGAAGAAACUCAAAUAAGAUUCAUAUAUAAUCUGAUCAUAAAUCCACAAUUCAUCGGAUCUCGACAAACACACCACAAAAGAAGAUUACAUCGGAUAGAUCUCCAUGAAGAUCAUGGAGAACUUUGUAUUGAAGAUCCAAGAGAGAGAAGAAGCCAUCUAGCUACUAGCUAUGGACCCGUAGGUCUAUGGUGAACUACUCACGCAUCAUCUGAGAGCUCAUGGUGUUGAUGAAGAAGCCCUUCGUAUCCGAAUCCCCCUCCGGCAGGGCACCAGAACAUGCCCCAGAUGGGAUCUUGCGAAGACAGAAGCUUGCGGCAGCGGAAAAGUACUUUCGAUGAUCUCUUAAUUUUUUUCUGGGAUUUUAUGGAAUUUAUAGGCGAAAGUCCUAGGGCAGAGGUGGCCCAGGGAGCCCACAAGCCUGGGAGGCGCGGGCCCCCUGGCCGCGGCUAGGGGGCUUGUGGGGUCCCUGCUGGCCCCCUGCCCUGAUUCUCAGGCUUCCCGAUCUUUUUCUGUUUCGGAAAAAAUCUUUUUGGCAGUUUCGUUCCGUUUGGACUCCGAUCAAAAUCCUCCUCUGAAAGGGGUCAAAAACAUGGAAAAAACAGGAACUCGCACUUGGCACUGAGUUAAUAAGUUAGUCCCAAAAAAGAUAAAAAAGGCAUACAAAACAUCCAAAGUUUGACAAGAUAAUGGCAUGAAACCAUCAAAAAAUAUAGAUAGUUGGAGACGUAUCUGCGGUCAAGAAUGUCCUUAAGUACCUGAAAAGGACUAAGGAGAUGUUUCUCGUUUAUGGAGGUGACGAAGAGCUCAUCGUAAAGGGUUACGAUGAUGCUAGCUUCGACACAGAUCCGAAUGACUCCAAGUCACAAACCGGAUAUGUAUAUGUUUUGAAUGGUGGGGCAGUCAGCUGGUGCAGCUACAAGCAAGACGUGUGGCAUCAUCUAGAUGUGAAGCGGAGUACAUAGCUGCUUCGGAAGCAUCUCAAGAAGGGAUCUGGACAAAGGAGUUCAUCACCGACCUUGGAGUAAUUCCAAGUGCAUCAGGCCCGAUGACACUCUUCUAUGACAACACUGGAGCUAUUGCCAUAGCCAAGGAGCCCAGAUUUCACACGAAGACCAAGCACAUCAAACGCCUCUACAACUCCAUUCAGGACUACGUCCAGAAAGGAGAAAUACAUAUUUGUAAAGUACAUACGGAUCUGAAUAUUGCAGACCCAUUGACUAAACCUCUUCCACGAGCAAAACAUGAUCAACACCAGAAUGAUAUGGGUGUUCGAUUCAUCACAACGCGACUAGAUUAUUGACUCUAGUGCAAGUGAGAGACUAUUGGAAAUAUGCCCUAGAGGCAAUAAUAAAGUGGUUAUUAUUAUAUUUCCUUGUUCAUGAUAAUUGUCUAUUGUUCAUGCUAUAAUUGUAUUAACCGGAAACAGUAAUACAUGGGUGAAUAUAUAGAUCAUAAUAUGUCCCUAGUAAGCCUCUAGUUGGCUAGCUCGUUGAUCAACAGAUGAUCAUGGUUUCCUGAUCAUGGACAUUGGAUGUCGUUGAUAACGGGAUCACAUCAUUAGGAGAAUGAUGUGAUGGACAAGACCCAAUCCUAAGCAUAACACUAGAUUGUGUUGUUCGUCUGCUAAAGCUUUUCUAAUGUCUAAGUAUCAUCUCCUUGGACCGUGAGAUUGUGCAACUCACAGAUACUGUAGAAGUGCUUUGGGUGUAUCAAACGUCACAACGUAACUGGGUGACUAUAAAUAUGCACUACGGGUAUCUCCAAAAGUAUCUGUUGAGUUGGUACGAAUCGAGACCGGGAUUUGUCACUCCGUGUGACGGAGAGGUGUCUCUGGGCCCACUCGGUAGAACAUCAUCAUAAUGAGCUCAAUGUGACUAAGGAGUUAGUCACGGGAUGAUGUGCUACGGAACGAGUAAAGAGACUUGUCGGUAAUGAGAUUGAACAAGGUAUAGGGAUACCGAUGAUCGAAUCUCGGGCAAGUAUCAUACUGAUAGACAAAGGGAAUUACAUACGGGAUUGAUUGAAUCCUUGACAUCAUGGUUCAUCCGAUGAGAUCAUCGUGGAACGUGUGGGAACCAAUAUGGAUAUCCAAACCCCGAUGUUGGUUAUUGGCCGGAGAGAUGUCUCGGUGAUGUUUGCACGUCUCCCGAACCCGUAGGGUCUACACACUUAAGGUUCGAUGACGCUAAGGUUAUAGAGAAAUAGUGUACAUGGUUAUCGAAGGUUGUUCGGAGUCCCGGAUGAGAUCCCGGACGUCACGAGGAGUUUCGAAUAGUCCGGAUGUAAAGAUUGAUAUAUAGGAUGAAAGGUUUGGACAUCGAAAAUGUUUCGGGCGUCACCGGUAGCGUACCGGGACCACCGAAAAGGGUUCCGGAGGUCCACCGAGAGGGGCCACCAACCCAAAAGGUGACAUGGGCCAAAAGGUGGAAGGAAAUCAGCCCAGAGUGGGCUGGUGCGCCUCCCACCAGGGGCCCAAGGCGCAGGGGAGAGGGAAGGGGGGAAAACCUAAGCCAGGUGGGCCUAAGGCCCACCAGGGGUGCGCCACACCCCUCCUCCCCUCCUCGCCGCCACCUACUGGCGCAGAUGGGGGCUGCCACACCCCUUGGGGGUGGGAACCCUAAGGGUUGCGCCCCCUCCCUCUCCCCCUAUAUAUAGUUGAGGUUUGGGGUUGUUUUGGGACACACGAAUCUCUCUCUCUCGGCGCAGCCCUACCUCUCUCCUUCCUUGUCCUUCGCGGUGCUUGGUGAAGUCCUGCUGGAGUUCCACGUAGCUCCACCGCCACCAUGUCGUCGUGCUGCCGGAGCUCUCCAGCAACAUCUCCUCCUUCCUUGCUGGUUCAAGGUGUUGGAGACGUCACCAGGCUGCACGUGUGUUGAACGCGGAGGUGCCGUGAUUCAGCACGUAGAUCGGAAUCACACCGCGAUCUGAAUCGUUGCAAGUACGACUCCAUCAACCGCGUUCUAGUAACGCUUCUGCUUAGCGAUCUUCAAAGGUAUGAAGAUGCUCUUCCAUCUUGCUCGUUGCUGGUCUCUCCAUAGAUAGAUCCUUGUAUAGCAUAGGAAAAUUUUGAAUUUACUACGUUUCCCAACACGAGUAACCCCCACCUCUCAGCACCAAGACGGCAGAAGAAGGCGAGGGGACAUAAAUUUCUCAGGCGGCGACAGUUGCACGAGAAACCCUACGUUUCCUAUGACACUUACCACUUGAGUAAUUUAAAAAGGGCAAACACAUGGCAAAAAUCAACCCAUUCCAUUGACGGAUUGCUGAAAUCAAAACCUCCGAGAGCCCAACCAAUCUCGUCCGGGCCCAAAGCUUAAACCGCCAAAGUACCCUACACCGGUAAAUCCUAUUUGGCGCUGCAGGUGCUGGUUAAAGUGCAUUUUUCUUAACCGGCGCAUGCAGUUUUCGGGCAUGGGCCGGCUCAUGUCACUUCCAGCGGGAGGGAGGAUUUUCCGAUUUUGAGAAGCUUGUGGAAGCUUCUUAGAUGGGUUUCUCUCAUUUUGGUUUUUUCAGGACUGGUUUUUCUUCGAUUUGUUGGUUUCUUUUCUUUACUCUUUUUAGUACUUUUUCAUUUGCAUUUUAUUUUAUAUAAUUUUUCAUUCUUGGAAAAAUCGCUGCCUUUUUUUGAUAAACUUUUUUUCAAUCGAACAAUCUUUUCUCUAAAUUAAUGAAUCUUUUUCAAAAAAUUAUGAAUUUUUUCUUAUAAUUCGAUGAACUCUUUUUUUUAAUAUCAGUGAACAUUUUGAAAUUUUGAUGAACUUUUUUUAAAAUGGAUGAAUGUUUUCCAAAUUUAAUGAACUUUCUGAAGAUUUGUGAACUUUUUUUUUCAGUUCAAUGAACUUUCCUAAAACAUGCAUGAUUUUUUAAAAAUUUAAUUAUUCUUUCAAGUUAUUGAACUUUUGAAAAUACUGAUAUUUCUUUUCAAAUUCAGUGAACGUUUUUUCAAAUUCUAUGAAUGUUUUCAAACUUUAUGACCUUUUUAAAAACAUUGGUAAACUUAUUUAAAAAUUCAUUGACUUUUUGUCAAAUUUAAUGAUUGUUAUUCAAAUUCGUUACUCUCGUUCUAUUUUGUGAACUUUUUUCAAUAUUAAUGAAUAUUUUUUCGAAUUGGUGAACUUUUUUUGAAAGAUUUGAUGAAUUUUCAUAUUUUUUGGGAACUAAUUUUUAAAUUCAAGAUGUUGUUUUAAGAUGCAUGAGCAUUUUGUGUUUUUAUAAUUUUUAAAUAGUAAUUUAAAAGGCAACGAUUGACCAAUUGGACAACUGAUCAACCGCGACAAUUUUAUUUUUCCGAAAUUCAACGACUAGUGUAUGAUAUCGAGCGACCACCUUUUUGUUGAGCCGGCCCAACAUGGGAUGCUGCAGGAGUCAGUAGCGGCAACGAGCGUCCGCAGCGCGGGUGUCCGCGGCGCUGUAUAGGAGCACCCGUACUCUGCUCCCACCCAGAGGUCCUAUCUGCCGUUCUUUGUGGUAAAAUGUCGACCCCAUGCAUAGGCGGAGAUCCCACUGGAAGGCCCAAGUUAGCGAACAUGAAUUUUUUUUGUUAAAUUCAUUAUUUCUUCCUUUUCUAAACUUUUUUAUUCAUUUUUAGUUUCUUCUCAACUUUUCAUGCUUUUCCUUUUUAAAUAGUACACACUUCCAAAUUGUUCAGAUUUUUUAAAAUUUUCAUGCUGUUAGAAAAUUUUCAGUUUCUCAGAAUAUGCAAGUGUUUUUGAAAAUUUAUUAAUAAAUAAAAAAAUAUACCCAUUUUAUAAAUUGAUCACAAAUUUUCAAAAAAUGUGCUUAUUUUCAAAUUUUCGUUCAAGUAUUAUUAAAUUGUUCACAUUUCCAAAUUUGGUUCCCAAAAUUAAAAAUAUGUUCGUCAUUUGAAAAAUUGUUCCUGUUUUCAAAUUUUGAUUGCAAAUUCAAAAAAUGUUCGGGUUAAAUUUUUUUUGCUUUUAGAAAAUGGUCAGUUUCUCAGAACAAGGAAGUGUUUAAAAAAGUUGUUCAUAAAUUUACAAAAUGUUCAAGCUUAACAAGUUGUUCACCAAUUUUCAAAAAAUGUUCUUACUUUCAAAUUUUUUGUUCAGGUACUAAAAAAUUAGUCACGUUUCCGAAUUUUGUUCCAAAUAUUGAAAAUAUGUUCAACAAUUGAAACAUUGUUCCCGUUUUCAAAUUUUGCUCACAAAUUCAAAAAAAAAUCAGGUUUUAAAAAUGUUGUGCUUUAGAUAAUGUUCAGUUUUUAGAACAUGAAAUUGUUUGAAAAAAUUAUUCUUAAAUUCAAAAAAAAUAUACAGUUUUAACAAGUUUACCACAAAUUUUCAAAAAAUGUUCUGGUUUUCAAAUUCUUGUGCAGGUAUUAAACAGUUGUUACGUUUCCAAAUUAAAUUCGAAAAAUUGAAAAUAUGUUCGUCAUUUCAAAAAUUGUUCUCAUUUUCAAAUUUUGUUCCAUUCUUGAAAUAUCUUAACAAUUUUUAGAGAAAGGGAAAAAAUCAAACUCCGCAAAGAAAAUGGAAACUCGAAUAAUUUUUGAAUCCGUUAACUUUUUAUGAAACAGAAAAUUGCUCCAACUUGGAUUUGUUUGUAAAACGAGAAUAUUUUUAAAAUCUUUGAACUUUUCUGAAAAAACAGAACACUUUUUUAUGAAAUCACAAAUAUAUUUUUAAACCAUGAAAUGUUCAUAAAAACGAAAAAGAACAUGAGAAAAUAAGCAUAAAAAACGAAAAAGCAAGAAGGAAAACAAAACCACUAAGAAAACCCAAACAUCCAGACAAGAAACAGAGCAGGAAAAAGUCAGUUAAAAAACCCGGAGAAAAUAUUCCAGAAUGGUCCUAAACAGAAAGCUGGUGCUAGCGUUCAGUGGGCCAGCCCACUCCACUCGCGUCUGUGCGAUAUGACGCAACGUGCGGCAUAUAGAAAAUUCCCUCCCAUCACUCCGCCGCCAUGGCCGUUGGCGCCGGCGACCGCUGGAGUUGACUGAAAAAAAAAGCAGAACCGUAUUCUUCACUCGUCGUCGGCGUUGGCGCAUUGGACGAUGGCGAGGACCACGCAUGAGUACGUGCCACAAUAUUUGAAUGCACACACCACACAUCGCAAAUACACACAAGUAAUCAAAGAAAAGAUGUGCCCCUCUGGUAGUACUCAAUCCCGUUGAAAGCAACAGAACAUACCAGGCAAUUAGUAGCUUGUAGAGCAUGUCAUGUUUUCGGCUGCAAUGUGCAGCUUUAAUAUAGGCUUAUUAAUUUCGUGAGUUGCCCAUUCUUUUACAUGGUUUUGGUUGAAAAGCUUACACCAAGUGAGGAAAAACCCAUUUUAUUCAAGCAUCAUCAUCAUUUGGCGCUGCAUGCAUAUGCAAAGGCCGGAGGUAAGGGAAACGCUUUGUACCAGUAGUCUCAUACGAAGCAAUCGGCAGACCACAUGUGAACCAUCGAUGUCCAAUUAAUCCCACGGUCAAGGUCUUCCUGAUACUAAAUUGCUAACCACCCAUAUUUAACGCAGGCCCUGGUCCCUUUCCCGUCAGGGUUGAGAUCUCUCCCGUCAAUCUCUCCUGAACCUCCGUUCCUCUCUCAUGGCUCUAUCGCAUCCUUCCUUUGAGCUCAUCAUCAACAUUGUCGCCCUUGUCCUGCCCUACUCCGCCACCCAGGUUGUUCCGUCUCCUGCGCAUCGUGCUCCCUUCCCACCUUGCCGGAGACGAAAUCCAUCGCCCAUGAUGCAAUCCACCACAACGCCCAAAUCUAAUCCCCUCUACCGACCUAAUACUAAAAGAAGCGGUCGCUAGUGACCUUGGUGGCGUGCCAUCACGGCAGUAGGUGGUCGUGCUCUCCAUCUUCACCGUGUUUGUUGCCCAUGAAGUGCCUGGACCUUGAGAUUUGAACCGGCUGCACCCGUAAGGCAGAGAAUCAGGAGUGGCCUCCAGUUCUUUUGCCCUAUUCGAAAUCCUUCCUGUGAUUCAAAAGGUAUUGAAUUUCCUGAUCCAACUUUCGUUCCAUCAUCAUCUGUCCCACGCACAGAUUCUUAUCAUAUGAUAUUUCCAGCAACCAUGCUUUUUAAACACUGGAUACGUGCUUCAACCUUGCUGUUUUGUUUGCGUCGAGGGGUGGAAUUGGUUUGUAGAUCACAAAUUGAUCGACGCACACACAAGUUGGCAACAUUCAGUGCUAUUUCUAGUUACAAAAUUACAUGCUCCCACUAGAUAUGAAUUAUGUUGAGAUAAAAACAAACUGAUGCUUCUUAAUAUCCAUGAUUCCUAACUUUGUUGUAUGUUUUCUUCAGUCCAGAUAGUUUGGGGCCAAAGAAACACACUUCUACUAUUUGUGUUGUCAAGAGAAAUUUUUGUGUUUAAACACUACCAUCAUGCUUCCUGUAUUUCAUAUACAUGCUGACAGUGGCAAGCCGAUUUUUUUUGUUUUUUAUUGUUGAAUAAUGCCAAAUCAAAUUUUAAAAAAUCAACGACGGUGUGGCAUAGCAUGUAUGAAGCGUACAUGCUUCUUACAUGGCAAUGUGAGAACCUCUACUUCAUCGCUACCGUACCAUAUAUGUAAUACUUGUUGUUGCUUCAUAUGUACCUUCUGUACUUAUGCAUCAUGGCUAAUAGAUUAUGGAUGUAUGUUUCAAGCAGUUGUGUGUUGGCCUUAGAACUGAUGGGCGCAGCCGUUGACAUAUAUGGAGGCAACUGAUGCCUACACUAAGAAGUGUGAUCAAUCAUGAUACUUGGAUCAGCCCUACAAUGAGGCCAACUGCAAGCGAAAGGAAUCAUGUCUACGGUCUAUAGGGAACAUACAAUUUGUUGACAUAAGGAAGCAUAGUAGGCAGUGUUGGUGACUUGAACGAAACGAAUUGUAUCAUGUAUGAAACUUAUUGUAAGAAUGAAUGAAGCAGGAAACAAACUUAUGUUCAAGUAGAAGCAAAUUAAUUUUACCAUGUAAGCACUUCUAUUAUUGGAUGGAAGCAAAUUUUCUGGUUGGAAAGUUGAUAAAAAAGAUAUAUGAGACCCAAAUUUAUGAUAUGAAAACAUAUUCUUAGAUACAAAUUUUGAUACACGGAAGCAAAGUGUUUGGAAAAAGAAUUACGUCCAAAAAAGUUUGGUUGUGAUUGAAGAAAAUUAUUUCAUCGGUGAAAGCAAGGUUUUGCUGCAUUAAGAACAAAAUAAAAUGUUACGCGGAUGCAUUUUUCAUCGAAGCAAAUUCGCUAUGCACUAGAAGCAAAAAAGGAAUUGUCUAGAAAAAAUGUUGAAUAAAGUACGAAAAUAGAAGAAUUUAGAUGGACUUUAAAUUAUAUCCUUGCAUGAUUUUCGGAAGAAAUUAAUUCAAGGAAGAAAAUAGUAUUGUAGCAACGUAAUCACAGGAGUAUAAUGUGGAAACUAACUAGAGGAGAAGUGGGUCAUACGUUGGGCACAUAAUCACGCCUUGCAAGUGCAAUCGAUCUAAUGGCUGUCCAGUGGUCUGAUAUACUGCUAGGGAUCAGUAGUCUGAUCCCUAGUGGUGCCCCGGAGGUAACCCUCCUUUCUUUCUUAAAGAAAAUCAAGCAUCAUCACACAUCAUUCUAUUCAUGACUAGAGAAUCUUAACAGCAACGACCCAUUUCCACUCGGCUAGGCUACCUAUAGUCCUUGUUCUUUUGAACCAUCAACAGGGAAGCUAUAUAUGAUGACUAAAUACUUAACGUAUUAAUUUGUAGUCAUCUAACCCGGUUAAAGAUAGGUCAUGUUGUCGUCCCCGGUCGGUGGCAUACAAUACCAAUACACUCUCUGGACUCCGCCGGUUGUAAAUGACCUGCAAAGGGGUCCUUCAAUCGAAAAGGCCAAAAGCAUACACUACCUUGCCUCUUUUGGACAGAGCUAGCCAAACCCUAUUCUUCAGUCGUUGACAUCGGCGUUGGCGCAUUGGACGAUGCUGACGAUCGCGCUGGUCACAUUGGCCAACGCGUUCAUCAUCCUCGCUGCGGCGGAGACCUUAGCCGCGCCGCCUUCUUUCGAGCCGAUUGCUGGUGUGCCUCCUGCUUCCGCACCGACUCCUUCUGUGCCACAUACUGCCCCACCACGUGUUGCCGCACCGACUCCUUCUGUGCCACAUACUGCCCCGCCGCGUGUUGCCGCAUCGACUCCUUCCCUGCCACAUACUGCCCCGCCGCCUGCUUCCGCACCGGCAGCUGUUGUGUCGCCUGCUGCCCUGCCGAGGUUGAUGAUGAACGUGUUGGGCCGCAGGUUGACGGCGAUCCAACGACCUUCCUUGAGCACCCGCAGCCCGGUGACCUGCUCAUCCAUCAUCAGGAUGGUGAGGGCGUUGUAGGUCAGCUCUGGCGACGGGCACUUGGGGUCGAAGUUGGCCGCCAUGUGCUGCUCCUGCUCGCCGAGGACCUUAUUGAUGUAGUCCUGCUCCAGCCCCAGGCUCUUCGAUAUCGCUCCGUAGAACUGGAACCCGAGGUCCCGGACCUCUUUGCAGUAUGUGCCCAUGGCAUUCCUGGUUCAUGCAAACACACGGCAGCUGGUUAACCAUAUAUAUGUCCGGUUGUAGAUGCUCUUAGUUUGAUACGUAUAUAGUACAUCCGUGGUUGUUCCAGGUGAGUUUGUUUGAUAACUUGCUCAGUCUCGUGAAUCAUGAGAAAAAGUGUGUGUUUGUUUGUCUGUUUACGGUUGAAUCUAGGAGGGAAAUGCUAAAGAAAUUAGUGGUGUUUUUGGCAUAUCAGUGACAAAAGAUGGUAGCUAAAACAGUUAGGACCGGUACGAAAUAAUGCCAAAGUAAUCAAGGAAAAGUACUUUCAAAGCAUUUUUACAGCAUAAGGAUGUGUCUAGGACACAUCUAGAUGUGACAUAAUUAUUACACAUCUAAAUAAUUAAAUCAAGCAUAAAAAAAAUACACACAAAUCUCUACAUAAGAUCAAUGAUAUAAAACUUAGAUGUGCAAUACUUAUCUCACAUCUAGAUGUGUUUUAGCAAAACCGAUGGAUAUGUCUAAGACACAUCUAGAUGCAACAUAGUUAUUACUAAUCUAACGAAUGAGAAACCCAAAUUUCAUUAGGGUGCCCCAUUUUUCUUUUCGAAGAUCCAGCAAAUACUACUUUCUCGAUACCAAAAUAUUUAUAGUAUUAAUAGACUAACUUAGCCUGCUAAAACUACAAAUAUUUAGGUACAAAGAAAGCGUUCAUUUUCUAAGGCCUUGUAGGCAUUUCACACAUAAUGCAAAACAGUGGCGUAUCUAGGGGGUAUGCCCCAGAAGUUUAGGAAGCAUUUUUUUUACCAUGUAAAAACUAGCAGAUUUUAAAGACCCAUCCAAAUCAAUUGAAAUAGACCUAACUUUUUAAAAGUGUGCGCACCUUUUAUUUUAUUUCUAGCUACGUCAGUGGUGCAAAACAGUUUAAUUUCAGUUGUCUAAAUGACUUAUAAAACUGAACGGAGGAAGUAGUUAUUUGAGUGACUUAUAAAAGUGAACGGAGUGAGUAGUUAUAUUUGCGGUUUUCUGGAAGUGAUGAAGAAAGAGUAAUAAAUACCUCAAGGGCGGCGGAUUGGCUGGCCCCUCCGCCGGCACGAACUGCUCGAGCGGGUGGCAGUGCAGCCGCAGGUAGUCGCGCCAGUUGUGGACGGUCUCCUUGCGCACGUUGAAGCUGGUGGAUAGCCGCAUCUUCUUGGGCGGGUCGUCGGAGUAGAGCUUGGCCUUCUCCUCCGGCGAGAGGCGGAAGAAGUCGUGCGCCAGCGCCAUGGCCGCCCGCAUCGCCUCCACCGGCAGCCCGUGGUUGAGCACCUGACGAUCAGAAACCACACACACACACCACGCGAGCACGCACUGUGAGCGAAAGCAGAGCAACGCCAUUUCCGGCAAAAACAGAGCAGCGUUAGGCGAAAUGGGAAUUGGAACCUGGAAGAGGCCGUGUGAGCUGCAGGCGGCGCCGAUCUGGUAGACGACGGCGGCGCUGUCGGGGUUGGCGAGGUCGACGACGGGGAUGUCGGCGUCGAGGCGCGGCCACUCGGACUCGGACCGGAUGUAGCUGUGGGGCAGCGUGUGCAGCACGGCCGUGGAGAUGAGCUGCUCCGCCAUGCCGGCGGAAGAACGGGGGGAGAGAGAGAUGGAUAGGUGGCACGAUCGUGGAGGGCGUGAGCAGAGGAAGUUCACGGAGAGAAAGAAGGAACGCCGGGGCUUGAGCAGGCGGGGGAAGUCGGAGGAUUUAUGGAAGAACGAGGAGAGAGAGAGAUCGGACGGACUUCCUCACAAGUGGUUCACAAAAAAACACGUGGAUGAGUGACCGUCCGUGAGUGUUCACAAGUGUGGACCAACAUACGGCUGUGGAAUAACGAGGGGGGAGAGAGAGAGAGAGAUCGGACGGACGGCUGUGGAUGUGGACACCCUCGUUCUUCCAACUUCCCCGAGCAGGAGAACAUAUGCCAUCAUACGUUCUACCAACUAUAAGGAUAGACAUGCGACCAACAUACGUUCUAUCAUGUGGACACCCAUGCCAGACUUAGUUCUACCAACUCACGAGAGGAUAGACAUGCGAGUGUUGACCAAUAUAUGCCAGACGAAACCGAGCAGGAGAACACCCAUGCCUGUGUGAUGAUGAAGCAUGAUAGCGCCAAAAAACAUACUACCAACUACAAGGACGAUACAACAUAGCGCACGCGUGCUAUGCGGACCGACAUAUGGCAUGAGACGACCACACCCAUGCCAGACGGCACGGCUCCUGUGUGUCUCUCUCCACGUCUGGCAUGUGCUAACAAAAAGGCAUGUCUAUCCUUCUCUCGUUGCCACGUCCCGACAAACACAACAUGCCAUAUGAAAACUGCCAUCCUUUCCCCUCACGUGAUCCUCCUUCUACAUCCCACAACACUAGAAAAACCCUACCGCCCUGAGCCCAGAUCCCCGGGCAACUUCUUCUCCCACAACAGUCGCCGAAGGCCACGGCCUGGCAUUGGGGAGCUCUCCUCCCAUAGAAAAAUCAUAGUAAAACAGGGCGGAACUAGAGCGAAAAAAUGUGAAGAAAAUUCUGAAAAAUGUAAUUGUGUGUGCAACUCUACUUGCUGAUCAGGCAACAAUCCAGGAGAGUUGUGGGCAAAAGCAUUUGCAAAGAUGGGCAAGAUUCUCCCACUGAAAAAACUGCAAAAGGUAAAAGAUCUGAUUCAGAAUUUUUUCGUCAUGAACUUCCCCCCUAAUAUUCUACUCCCUCCGUUCCUAAAUAUAAGUCUUUUUAGAAGUUUCACUAAAAGACUAUAUACAGAUGUAUAUAGACAUACUUUAGAGUGUAGAUUCACUCACUUUGUUCCGUAUGUAGUCAUUUAGCGAAAUCUCUUAAAAGACUUAUAUUUAGGAACGGAGGGAGUAGUUGCAAUAGUUGCCCCCUAUAGCAAAGUGUUUGUAUGACAUGACUUCCUACAAAAGUAUUUGCAAAGAUCUGUCCAGAAUUGUUUGGUCAUUAACUUCCCCCCUAAUCUUCUAGUUGGAAUAGUUGCCCCCUUAAGCAAAGUGUUUGUAUGACAAGACUUCCCACAAAAGUAUUUGCAAAGAUCUGAUCCAUAAUUUUUUGGUCAUGAACUUCCCCCUGAUCUUCUAGUUGCAAUAGUUGCCCCUGUACCAAAGGAUUGUACGCGAGGACUUGAAUCCUGCCACUGUUCUUGCAUAUUGUAGUUGCAAAAUCUGCCCCCGUGACUUGUAGAACUAGAGUAUCUUGUCUAUUCUUUUACACCCUGCUUCUGCCAAAAAAUGGGAAAAAGAAGCAUAGUUAUUUUUGUUACUGUUAGUAAUCUCUUUUGUAUAUUAAAAACUGGUUAAUAAUCUGUUGUAUUUGCUUACAAAAAAAAUUGUAGUAAAAGUCUAGUUGCUUACAAGCAACACAAAGUAGCCACGCAAAAGAAGUCUGAAAAAAGGGUUAAGCGACCAUUUUGGAACUACAAUAUGCAAGUAGGGUUAGGUGACCUAGGUCGCCGGGGUGGGCGAGAAGUGUCGCACCGCCCAUUCGUGUUGAGGCGNNNNNNNNNNNNNNNNNNNNNNNNNNNNNNNNNNNNNNNNNNNNNNNNNNNNNNNNNNNNNNNNNNNNNNNNNNNNNNNNNNNNNNNNNNNNNNNNNNNNNNNNNNNNNNNNNNNNNNNNNNNNNNNNNNNNNNNNNNNNNNNNNNNNNNNNNNNNNNNNNNNNNUGUUAGGCGACCUAGGUCGUCGGGAUGGGCGAGAAGUGCCACACCCCCCAUUCGUGUUGAGGCGACUUGGAAUGACGGUGGCCGGCGGGGCUUUGGGCGAUUUGGUUGUCCGUGUUAGGCGACCUAGGUCGUCGGGGUGGUCAAGUGCCACACCCCUCAUUCGUGUUGAGGUGACUUGGAAUGACAGUGGUCGGCGGGGCUUUGGGCGACUUGGUCGUCCGUGUUAGGCGACCAAGGUCACCGGGGUGGGUGAGACGCACCGCACCCCCCAUUCAUGUUGAGGCGACUUGGUAUGACGAUGGUCGAUGCUACCUCUUGAGCUUGCGUUGGUUUUUUCUCUUGAAGAGGGAAGGGUGAUGCAGCACAGUAGCAGUAAGUAUUUUCCUCAGUUUGAGAAUCAAGGUAUAAAUCCAGUAGGAGUAUCAAGAUGAAGCAUCGAUGUACUGCUAUCCCACCGACAACAGCGCCAGAAGUUGACACGUUAACACAGGCUGGGCUUGCGUUGGUUCUUCCCUUGAAGAGGAAAGGGUGAUGCAGCACAGGAGCAAUAAGUAUUUCCUCAGUUUGAAAACCAAGAUAUCGAUCCAGAAGGAGGGUCUCGUCAAGUCCAGAGUACCUGCGCAAACACAAACAAGCUUGCACCCAACGCUUCAAAGGGGUUGUCAAUCCCUUCAAGAUUGUUUGCAAAGUGAGAUGUGAAGGCGGAAAGUGCAACGAAGUAAAAAAGUGUAAGGCUGAAAAUAUGGUGUGAAGUAAACCCUGGAGGCCAUGGUGUUCACUAGAGGCUUCUCUUAAAAUAGAAAAUAUCACGGUGGGUGAACAAAUUACUGUCGAGCAAUUGAUAGAACCACACAAAGUCAUGACGAUAUCUAAGGCAAUGAUCAUACAUAUAGGCAUCACGUCCGAGACAAGUAGACCGAUACUUUCUGCAUCUACUACUAUUACUCCACACAUCGACCCCUAUCCAGCAUGCAUCUAGUGUAUUGAGUUCAUGACGAACAGAGCAACGCUUUAAGCAAGAUGACAUGACGUAGAGGGAUAAUCUCAAACCAAUGAUGAAAAUCCCAUCUUUUUACCCUUGAUGGCAACAACACUAUGCGUGCCUCGCUACCCCUUCUGUCACUGGAUGAGGUCACCGCACGGUAUGAACCCAAAACCAAGCACUUCUCCCAUUGCAAGAAUCAUAGAUCUAGUUGGUCAGAUAAAACCCACAUCUCGAAGAGAAUUACAAGGAUAUGAAAUCAUGCAUAAGAGAGAUCAGAAGAAACUUAAAUAAGAUUCAUAGAAAAUCUGAUCAUAAAUACACAAUUCAUCGUAUCUCGACAAACACACCGCAAAAGAAGAUUACAUCGGAUAGAUCUCCAUGAAGAUCAUGGAGAACUUUGUAUUGAAGAUCCAAGAGAGAGAAGAAGUCAUCUAGUUACUAGCUAUGGACCCAUAGGUCUAUGGUGAACUACUCACGCAUCAUCGGAGAGGUCAUGGUGUUGAUGAAGAAGCCCUCCGUGUCCGAAUCCCCCUCCGGCAGGGCACCAGAACGUGUGUGAUACGUCUCAAACGUAUCUAUAAUUUUUGAUGGUUUCACGCUGUUAUCUUGCCUCCUUUGUAUGUUUUAUGUACAUUUUUAUAUCUUUUUUGGGACUAACUUAUUAAUUCAGUGCCAAGUGUCAUUUCCUGUUUUUCCGUGUUUUUGACUCUUUUCAGAUCUGAUUUUGGAACGGAGUCCAAACGGAAUAAAAACCCCGAAAUGAUUUUUUUCCCGAACGAAAGAAGACCAGGGAGCCUUUGGGCCAAGCCAGGUGGGCCCUAGGGAGCCCACAAGCUCCCACCACGCCACCAGGGGGGAGGCGGCGGUGGGCAAGUUUGUGGCUUCCCUGGCCGCCUCCUGACCUAAGUCUUGCGCCUAUAUAUUCCCAAAUAUUCCAUAAAAAAUCAGGGGAGCCUCGAAAAAACUUUUUCGCCGCCGCAAGCUUCCGUUUCCGUGAGAUCUCAUCUGGAGACCCUUCCCAGCACCCUGCCGGAGGGGACUUUGGAGGUGGAGGGCUUCUUCAUCAUCAUCAUCGCCCCUCCAAUGACUCGUGAGUAGUUCACUUCAGAUGUACGAGUCCGUAGUUAGUAGCUAGAUGGCUUCUUCUCUCUCUUGGAUCUUCAAUACAAAGUUCUCCAUGAUCUUCAUGGAGAUCUAUCCGAUGUAAUCUUCUUUGGUAGUGUGUUUGUCGAGAUCCGAUGACUUGUGGACUUGUGAUCAGAUUAUCUAUGAUAUAUAUUUGAGUCUUUGCUGAUUUCUUAUAUGCAUGAUUUGAUAUCCUUGUAAGUCUCUCCGAGUCUUGGGUUUUGUUUGGCCAACUAGAUCUAUGAUUCUUGCAAUGGGAGAAGUGCUUGGUUUUGGGUUCUGCCAUGUGGUGACCUUUCCCAGUGACAGUAGGGGCAGCAAGGCACACAUCAAGCAGUCGCCAUCAAGGGUAAAAAGAUGGGGGUUUUAUCAUUGGUUUGAGAUUAUCCCUCUACAUCAUGUCAUCUUGCUUAAGGCGUUACUCUGUUCUUAUGGACUUAAUACACUAGAUGCAUGCUGGAUAGCGGUCGACGUGUGGAGUAAUUAAUAGCAGUAGAUGCACACAGUAUCGGUCUACUUGUUUCAGACGUGAUGCCUAUAGAAAUAAUCAUUGCAUAGAUAUCGUCAUGACUCUGCACAGUUCUAUCAAUUGCUCGACAGUAAUUUGUUCACCCACCGUCUACUUGCUUUCAUGAGAGAAGCCACUAGUAAACACUACGGCCCCCGGGUCUAUUCACACCCAUCGUUUACACCUCCGCUUUUACUUUGCUUUGUUACUUUGUUGCUUUCAGUUCUCACUUGGCAAACAAUCUAUAAGGGAUUGACACCCCCUUCAUAGCGUUGGGAGCAAGCUCUUUGUGUUUUGUGCAGGCACUUGUGAUACUACUUCACUCGAUCGAUACAUUGGUUCUCAAAACUGAGGGAAAUACUUACCGACGCUGUGCUACAUCACCUUUUCCGCUUCGAGGGAACACCAACGCAAGGCUCCAAGGCCACAGAGGAAUCCUUUGCAUAUUUUCCUAGGAAGUCCCUAAGGCAUAGCCGCUGCAGCAGGAUUCCUAGCGCUGUACCAGGGAAGGUCUGUUGUCGCAGUAGCACACCCUCAUGAAAAAAUUCACCCUACCGCAAGAGGUAGAUCCAAAUAAACCGGUUAUACAACAAAAAAUCAAGUUGUGGGCUCUGAAGAAGAUGCCCAACAGUUCUGCAACUGGAAGAAACGAUUGAACCAAGACUAUGUCCACAAAGGCAAGACUCCAACAUUCACCGGAGCACUUGAGAAGUUAAAAGAUCACUAGGACGUAUUUGUGGAGUUCAAGAAAUUAGAUGAAGCUAAGAAAAGGUCAGAAAGAAAUAAGAUAAAUCCCGCGAAGAAAGAUUAUCACCAUGUUACGGGGUUAGGUGGCUAUAAGGUUGCUAGGCCUAAGUGGGAGAAAACGGAGGACGAGCUGAUUGCUAAAGGGGUCGAACCAGAGCCAUUGUACUGGACCGAACGGGCAAGGACUUGGUUCUACAGGCAUGGGUGAAAGUUGAACCCAGAAACAGGGAAGUGUACUUACACAAAAGAGCAACUUGCAACACCCCUGUAAGCCCUUCAAGAUGCACUGAAGGACGUGCAUGACGAGAAGUUCAUUCCUGAUAGAGAGAACGACGAGCUCACACACGUCCUCGGGAAUCCUGAACACAGUGGACGGACACGAGGCACAACGGGCUCCGUUUCGUGGAAGGUCGGGUUUCCCGAUAACAGUGACAACUAUAGAAGCUGAGCGAGAAAGAAGAAAUAGGAAGAAUACCGAAAUAAACGGGAAGCAGACCGGCUACAGAAGGUAGAAUAAAAAUUAGAGGUCCACCUACAGAUAAUAGAUAGGCUUACCAGACAGCGAGCUACCAGCGACCCAUCUGAUCCUGCAUUUGGUACUGCUCCCAGCCCAUCACCAUCUCAGAGGAAAAGCAGCGCGGUUCCACGGAGCUUGUUUGGCUCACAAAUGAUAUCACGGCUCCUCUCUACCCUGUGGAUGAUAUCACGGAGAGGGAAAAUUGUGAGCUACAUGCUGGAACUUAUUCAUGAAGGUGGCGGUCAUCUAUGUCUUACCUCCUCGACCUGAUGCAACUUACCUUUGCGAGUCGAUUCUAGAUGGCUAUGCUAUUGUCGGGAUGGAUGAAGUUACCAGCGGAUUUGAGCAACUAUAGCUUGAUUACCCUACAGGUUAAGGGGAGACUCAUCUAGGAGAUGCCUUGAGGACUACCAUUCUAUGGAAAAAGGAACACAUCAUGAUUCCACAUUGGACAGCGUCAGCAGAUCACUCCGUCGGACUCGGCUCCUCACGAGACUCCUCACGGUAGCAAUCCAGGUCAGUGUCAGCAGACUCCGAUGUCUCAGUUGUAUCCGCCGCGUCAACUGACUCCACCGCAUCAGCCGCCUCUGCCUCCUCAGCUGUCUCUGUCGCGUCAGCUAACUUCGCCGCGUCAGCAGACUACGACCCCUCAGGCCCAUGCACGGAAGAGAACGGCCACUCCAGCGGCUAGUAGUACAACUUUGAAGAAACCCAAAGCAGCUACAUGCGUCAAGGAGGCUCCUCGCAAGUCACCAUAUGAAGUGCGUGAUGAGGAACUCAAGACGGUUGUGCAGGAGGAAGUGAGACGCCGUCUUGCACUGAAACCGUGCAAGGAACCGGAGAAAAUAUAUCCGAAAAAGUGAAGCGUUGUCUGAAAAACCUUACGCGACCACCGCCGCCUCCGCCGCUAUCAGACUAUGACCGCUCGAUUGUUAAGUCACAUAGACAACAGAAGCGGUCUGGAAGUAGUAGAUCAAGUGGGAAAACAAUUCCCCAGCUCGGCGAACAAAAAACCAAUCGAUCCCCCAUUUGUUUACCGGUAACCGGUUAUGAUGCGAAGGCAGAAUGCCAUGGUAUUGGUUUCACUCUUGGUGAAUACUUAGGCGGUCAGCAAGAGUCCCCCCGGCUGAGAUAGUAUACACAUACCGGUACGGGAAGCCUCUCGUUAGACCUGAGAAUGUCCUGCUUCUACCAACACGAAUUCGAAACUUCCAUGUGUGGUACAUGAAAGCCUGCAAGGCUGGGACCAACUAUCUCAUUGCGGGAGUUAAUGAUGAGCAUUUUCUUCAAUGGAGACGAACUGAUUUACAUUGUAUUUGAGUAAUUUUUCCAGUUAUUCAAUCAAGAGGCCAUCGAUAAAGCUAUCAUCAGUUGCUAUUGUGUGUAAGUAUCAUUUCUGUAAUUAAGUCUCUAUCUGAGUUCGUUCAUUACAUGUAUAAUUAUCCUCACUAUAUAUAUUAUGCCGAAUGAAGAUCCUCCGGUGCAGAAGAGGAUGAAUCUAUGAUAUUGGGUUCAUUAACCCAAAUAUUGUUCAUGAAGUGACGGUAAAAAAUCACGUGGAAGAAACAGAGAAGAUCUUGCUAAGGGUGUUAAUUGAACAACAAAACAAAAGGGAAAUAAUUUUUCCUUACAAUUUUAAGCGAGUGUUAUACUUUUUUGAACGAAGUGAGUGUUAUACUGUCUUCAAUACAUUAUAUUUUCGUUAAUUACUCGAUGCUAAGUGUAAUUGAUGAGUUAUGCGUAUGCAUGUUCCACUUUAUUCUGCUAGUCAUUUUGUCAUGGACUCGAAACGCAAAGACAUAGAGACGUGGGAUUAUUCGUGAUUUUCGAUAAAAAGUAGUGGUUUUGAAGUAUCCUUGCCAUAAUUGUGGUGGUUUUAAACAAUUUUCUCUCCCGAUGUAAAUCAAACCAUGGGAUUAUUUAGCAAACCGGGAUUACACAGGAUGUUUCACACAACGGACCGGGGGUUGGUUGCGCUGCGCGCGUGGUCACAACUUGUCAUGUCAGCAGCUUCGAUCGGCAUCAUGACCCGGAUCGUUGUCAGUGGGUGGGAGCUCUCGUCCACACGUUUAGAACGGCAAGGGCAGACCUGUGGUUCAACGCUUGAACUGCUUGCAGUCCAGCAGUCCAAGUUUAGAACGCUGGUCCUCGGUUACACUGAUUUGUUCUAUCAACAUGUGGUUCCCACGACUUGGUCCUCGGUUUGACUAUUCAUACUGAUUUCUUUUUAAAUCAGGCGAUCCUGACACAACAAAUGGACCGGUCCAGAUUACCCCUCCCAUGUACCAUUCAGCAUGGAUGGUGAGCUAUCUCAAAAACAAAGAUUACCCUCCCAUGUGUGAAACACAGGCAUUUGAAAAAUUUAGGUGGGCCGGUCCCGCUAGGAGUAGGGUGUGCGUCCCUUGGAAUUUUUUUAAAUAGCAAAUUUGAAAUAGGUCGAUUCAUCAGACGAAUCUCAGUUGAUACGAUGUUAAAAAAUUUAAAACUAAAUUACAUAAUUCAGUGUAUAAUCGAUCGGCUUUUCGAUUCGUGUGUUUAUUUCGCCAAAUUUAAAUUGGGCUUUUUCCAAGCCCAACCAAUCGAGAGUUUGGGCCCAAAAAAAACUUAAACCGCCAGAGAACCCUACUCCCCUCAGCUCCCACCACUCCUCCGCCAUGGCCGCCGGCGCCGGCGCCGGCCUGCGGCUGGGCUCCUACCUCGGCGACGUCUCCGCGCUCUCCUUCCUCCCCUCCUCCCCGCGCCCCCUCCUCCUCGCCGGUACCUCCCCCUCCCCUCUCCCUGCCCUCCGGCGCGCCGUACGCUCACCUCACCUAUUACGCCGCGCGCUCUCGCAGGGACCGGGUCGGAGCUGCUCGUCUACGACCUGGAUGCCGCCAGGCUCGUCGCCUCCUUCCGGGUCUUCGACGGCGUGCGCGUCCACGGCAUCCAACCCCGCGUCCGUGCCCCCAAUGGCCCCGCCGACGGGCUCACCGUCGCCGUGUUCGGCGAGAGGAGGGUGAAGCUCCUCAGCCUCCGCGUCGACGCGGCCGGCGUGCUGCUGCAGCUGGAGCAGAGGCUCCCCGGGUUCGACCACUGGGUGCUCGACGCUUGCUUCCUCGAGGUAUGCACACUCGGUCAUUCGCGGUGGGAAGCUUCGUUUUCCAUUGCCAUUCAUGCUUGUACAUUAUUCAUGUGUGUUCCUUCUCGGCGCAGGUCGACGGGCUGCUUGCGAUCGGUUUGGGCGACAAUUCAGUGGCCUUGUGGGAUUUGAAGGACCGUGUGUUCGUUACCAGGGUGAAUUCUCCAGGUUCGACGAGCCCCCAAGUUUGAAACUAUAUCCUCCGUGCCAGAAUUUGUAUUGACAUAUGCUUGGUCCUGGUGUGUUUUGUGGAUGCAGAGAAGUGCCUUCUGUAUUCAAUGAGAAUGUGGGGGGACUCUGUUCAAUCCCUCCUCGUCGCGUCUGGUACCAUUCUGAACGAGGUAGCCGUCCAGGCUCUUCUAACCUCUAGCGCACUAAAUUUUUGAGACAGACUUUGCUAAGCUCGGAUGUCUGGUAUAAGCAUUAUUAUAACUCCACUGUAUCUGUUUUCCAGAUUCUUAUUUGGAAACUGGUACCUGAAACCCCGAGUUCUUCCUUGUUAAGCUCGGACGAGUUGGGCGCUGCUGGUGUAGAGAACCGUGAAAACGUUCAUCUUAGUCAUAAUAAUAAAUACAUGGCUGUUCAUAUUGGAAGAUUGAAGGAACAUGAGGGUUCAAUAUUCCGAAUAGCUUGGUCUUCUGACGGAUCAAAGUUCAUGUCCGUCUCCGAUGACCGCAGGUUUGGUUCGUUCUGGUUUUCACUUCUCUGCAUUAUCCAUGUCAGAUUUCAUUUGCUGAAGUAUCUAGCUUCUUGAACUUAUUGUUUCAAUUGCCCGUCUUUUGUUAUAUCAGUCUUAUCUUAUGUGCUUGGCUUCAUUGUUAUGGCAGUGCUCGCAUGUGGAUGUUAAGUUGUCAGCCACAGGAUCUUACCAAUCAAGCAGCCAGAAUUGAUGAUGUCGACAUUAUACCAAAACUGACACUUUUUGGACACAGUGCUAGAAUUUGGGAUUGCUGCAUAUCUGAUUCUGUAAGUUUAUUGCACUUUGCCUUUUCGUCUUUCAGUUUUGAAGGUGGAUUUGCUAUUAUGUUUGUUUGGUGGCGUCCGUUUCCUCAAUGCUUUUUUUUAACUCACGAAUCUAUCAUGGACACAUACCAUAUUAUUACGUUAAGGCUUUUUUUUGUCAGAAAAGUGGAACUUACCCAUCUACUCCCUCCGUACCUAAAUAAUUGUAGNNNNNNNNNNNNNNNNNNNNNNNNNNNNNNNNNNNNNNNNNNNNNNNNNNNNNNNNNNNNNNNNNNNNNNNNNNNNNNNNNNNNNNNNNNNNNNNNNNNNNNNNNNNNNNNNNNNNNNNNNNNNNNNNNNNNNNNNNNNNNNNNNNNNNNNNNNNNNNNNNNNNNNNNNNNNNNNNNNNNNNNNNNNNNNNNNNNNNNNNNNNNNNNNNNNNNNNNNNNNNNNNNNNNNNNNNNNNNNNNNNNNNNNNNNNNNNNNNNNNNNNNNNNNNNNNNNNNNNNNNNNNNNNNNNNNNNNNNNNNNNNNNNNNNNNNNNCUACAAUUAUUUAGGUACAGAGGAAGUAGCUUUUAUUGUAAACUAAAUACAUCUUACUGUUUUCACCUGAACUUGCCUUUUAGAUAGUUAUAACUGCUGGUGAGGAUUGUACUUGCUGCAUUUGGGGCAUGGAUGGAAAGCUAAUCAAAACGUUCAAAGAACACAUGUAAGUUGGGCAGAAAGUGUAAGGCGAGCCAGAUUAAGUAUGUGCAAGUUUGAGUACCUUGACCUGCAAGAAGUUUCUCCCUUAUUAAAACUUAAUUUGCUCUGCUGCCUCUACUGUUACAGCGGCCGAGGAUUAUGGCGAUGUUUAUAUGAUCCAAGCUCACUGGUUCUGAUCACUGCUGGGUUUGAUUCAGCAAUCAAAGUGCACCACCUAUGUAAUUCCUCUUUUCAUGACACAUUGGAAGAAAAAGCGGCCCCAGAUGGUCUGAAAUACGAGUCUGAGGUGUUUGAAGUAUCUUCUCCUAUAGUAUCAGGACGGCAUGGUGCCUUGGAUAGGUAUGGUGUGUUUCUGUGUUAUCUUGUACAAUCUCUAUCUUUCAUGGUGAUAUAGUGCGAGUAAUUAACUAAUUAUUCUUUCGUUUAUCACAGCAAAAGUGAAUAUGUCCGAUGCUUACACUUUGUGCAACAAAAUAUUCUCUAUGUUGCCACAAACAAUGGAUAUCUGCAUCAUGCUGACCUCUCUAAUACAAAAGAUGUAAGAUGGACUGAGGUUAUUCAGGUCACAGAGAAAGCACCGAUCAUAUGUAUGGAUGUAAUGAUAGUGUCCUCAGACUUUUCUCUGGAUAAGGAGGAUAUAAUUGCCCUUGGAGACGGCCGUGGGAAUGUUACUAUUGUCCGGUUAAGCAGUCCCAGUCUUGAACCUAAAAUAGAUUUAUCUUUUACCUGGCCAGCUGAAAAGGAUAGGCAACUACUAGGAUUAUACUGGUGCAAGUCACUUCAAUGUAGGUAUGUUGAUUAUUACCUAUUUACUUUCUGGUUAGCAGGUAAUAUUGUUCUCAACAGUUUUAUUUUCCUCGCAGCCACAUUUUCACAGCUGAUCCUAGAGGCACUCUUAAGUUAUGGAAUGUAAGGAAUGCCCUUUUGUCAAAUGGCCAUGCGAUUAGUACAGCUCAGGAGGUUUCACUUGUUGCAAUGUUUGAAUCUCCCUUUGGGACUCGUAUCAUGUGUUUAGAUGUAUCACUUCAGGAUGAGGUAAUUCUUAUAAACUUGCUCUGUUUCUCAUUGAAUGCAAAACCUUAACAGUGGCCUAUAUAAUAUUUCACGCGAAUAUCAGACGUUUUAUAAUUAUGACUACGGGAACACUAAUUGUUUAUAGAAUACUAGUGCCUGAUGUUCUAACUAUCAGAUGAAGAGAAAUGUUACAGGUUGCUGCAAAGAAUAUAUUUUGUUCUCUGAUGUAAAAAUAAAUUACAUGUUAAUUUCUGUGCAGAUCCUUAUAACAGGUGAUAAGAAGGGUAACAUCGCUGCCUUUCCUUUUCAUAACACAUUGGCAGCACAUGACAGCAGUGAGGCACAGCAGAAGAUACCUUUACGUGACCGUUUUAAAGGAGCUCAUGGCAUUUCUAGUGUCACAAGUGUUCAGAUAAUCACCUCAGCUUCGGAUCAUAUUGAAAUCCACACUGUAUGUACAGAGUUUUGUUGUUGUUCCUUUUAUUGAAGUCAUGAGCUUGGCCUGACAUAAACUCCUCUCCUCUGAACAUUUUACAGACUGGGGGAGACGGCUGUAUUUGCUUCUUCAAGUAUGGGAGAAAUGUCAAAAACGUUGAAUUUGUUGGAAUGAGACAAUUGAAAGAAUUAGGCACCAUUCAAUCCAUCCACGCAAAUCAUGCCUCUGGUAACCAAUUGGUUGGUACCUAUGCAAUAGGUUUCACCUCUGCGGAUUUUAUCAUUUGGGACCUUGAAAAUGAUACAAAGGUAAGACAUACUGGAUAAACUGGACAGUUUGAAGUUUGAAUUUGGCAAUGGUUGUCCUAAUCUGUUAAUUCUGGAUUGUUUUCCCUUCUAUAGCUGGUUCAAAUAUCAUGCGGAGGAUGGCGGCGCCCUUACUCUUAUUAUCUUGGGACAGUCCCUGAGUAUCAAAACUGUUUCGCCUUCGUGAAGGUUUGCUGCCCUUGCUUAACGAUGUCUGUGAAAUUGUUUUCUUAACUGUUCUUCUAUGCAAAUUUACACACCUCAUGAGAAUUGACUUGCUAGCAGGACCACAGUAUUCAUGUCCACAGACACUGGGCACCAGCUCAAGAUAGGAAGCUGCUUCCUCAAGUUUUUCAUACCCAGUUCCAUGGAAGAGAAGUGCAUUCUCUUUGCUUCAUAGAUCCCGCAAGCUAUUCACAUCCUGAGAAGAGUACAGAUUUGUGGAUUGCAACCGGGUGCGAAGAUGGAACCGUCCGGCUUACAGGGUAAAUAAGUUACCAUUGCUGCAUAAUAACAAACGUGGUUUACUCAAAUAUACCUGUCCAUUUCAGGUGCUGUUAUGAAUCAUAUUAUAUAUUUUGUUGUUGAUCUUUGUUACAGGUACUCCGCUAGUAGUGAUGGAAGAUGGUGUUCAUCCAAGCUGCUGGGGGAGCAUGUUGGUGGGUCAGCUGUGAGAGAUACGUGCUUCGUCCCAAAGACUUACACAUUAGCAGAUAAAUCAUGCAACUCUAGUGUCAGUUCUGCCGACAUUUUGGCCGAAGACAAGGACACCACUUACAUAUUGAUAUCUGUUGGAUCAAAGCAAGUUCUGACGGCUUGGGUUCUAGAACCUAGGACCGCAGAGAACAAACAAGCGUGUUCGAGUGAUCUAGAUUUAGACACCAAGCAAAGCUCGUUAUGCUCAGAUAUUAGUGAUUCAGCGGUUACAUUUCAGUGGCUUUCUACCCACAUGCCACCAAAGCUUGGCACCAACAGAUUGAAAGCUGAUCAUGUAAAGCGGAACAUCGAGGAAGGCGGGAAAGGAAAUUGCUCUGCUCAACCUAAUCUGGCUAUUAUGGAACAGAUGGAAAAUGACUGGCGUUACCUUUCUGUUACAGCUUUUCUUUUGAAACAUCCGGCUACUGAGUAAGAUUUGACACCGCUCUCAUCAAUCGCUCACAAAUAUAGGGUGUAGGGUACUUUCUGUUCCAGCUCUUGCAAGAAAUGACUGUCAUGAAUGGCCCACAAAUAUAGGGUCUAGGGUACUUUCUGUUGCAGCUCUUGCAGAAAUGACACUCAUGGAUUGCUCACAAAUAUAGGGUCUAGGGUUCUUUCUGGUUAGCUCUUGCGAGAAUGACUGUCAUGAAUUGGUUACAAAUAUACGGUCUAUGCUACUUUCUGUUUCAGCUCUUGCAAGAAAUGGUUCAUGAAUUUCUCAGAAAUAUAGGGUCUAGGAUUUUAUUUUUGAUUUGCUCUUGCAAGAAAUGAGGGUAGUCUGAGCUCUUUGUUUUAUGUCAGGUUGACAGUAUGUUUUGUUGUUGUUGCUUGCUCGGAUGCAACAGUGGUUCUCCGUGCUCUUCUUUUGCCUUCUCGAUUAUGGUACGUAACAUGAAAUUUCCGAGGCAGAGUUCCUAUUUAUCUGUACUAGUCUUGGUGGUUUCAGUUAGCUGUUCCUUUUCUCUGUGUACAGGUUUGAUGUUGCCUUGUUGGUCCCACAGGCAUCACCAGUUCUUGUCCUACGGCAUAUCGUUGUCGUCUCUAGUGCCCACUGUGAAGGUCAGUUCUACCCUUUCUUUUUUGUUCUGAAAAUGUUGUUAAGCAUAAUGGAAUUCACACAUUUGCUUUCAGGUGUUGUUUAUAAUGGCGAUAGAUACAUUAUCGUGAGUGGGUCUACAGAUGGUAGCAUUACAUUGUGGGACCUAACAGACACCAUUCAUGGCUUUAUGCAACUAGUAUCAGAGACGAAACCGCACAUGGUCAUCGACUGCCAAAAGCGGCCCAAGACAGGAAGAGGGAGUCAGGGUGGUCGUCGUCGGUGGCGAUCACUGGCAAACAGUUCCGUGAAGAAGGGUAACGGACAGGCAUUGCUCCGUAGUGAGAACAAUCUGAGCGCCUCGUGCGCUGCUGCGGAGAGUCCACAUGAAACUUCAGGAGCGGGAGAAAACGAGGCCAUAAAAAACACCGAGAACACAGUUUCAAGUACCCAGUCGUGUGAUAUACCUGAACUGCAGCCAUUGCAGAUAUUGGCCGGUGUUCACCAGUCAGGCGUGAACUGCCUCCAUGUUUCGGAGAUGGAGCAGCGGUCAUGCUCUAUUGCUGGCACGUCUUACUGCAUCAUAAGUGGCGGUGAUGAUCAGGCGGUUCAGUGUUUUGUGUUCACAUUAGCACCCCCGCAGGGCUGCUCAACUAACAUGUCAAACAUAGUCUCGCCUCCUGACAAAGGUGGACUUCAAAUACUUGGCCAGCACACGGUUCCCUCCGCUCACGGAUCAGCAGUGAAAGGUAUGUCUGUCACUAUUAAGAAUACCACGGCUUGGUUCAGUAUUUCAGUUUCGCAACUGUUCAUGUAAGCUGAUGAUACAAGCAUUUGCACUUUUACGGUCAGGUAUCUGGACGGACGGUGCCUGGGCUUUCUCCACUGGGCUUGACCAGAGAAUCAGAUGUUGGAAAAUGGGUCCAUCCGGCAAAUUCACGGAGCAUUCCCAUGUCAUCAUCAGCGUGCCCGAGCCGGAAACUAUGGACGUUUUCCAUGACUUGUGAGGAGGCUUCGCAGCAGCAUCUGUAUUCUUUUUUUUUUUUUUUUNNNNNNNNNNNNNNNNNNNNNNNNNNNNNNNNNNNNNNNNNNNNNNNNNNNNNNNNNNNNNNNNNNNNNNNNNNNNNNNNNNNNNNNNNNNNNNNNNNNNNNNNNNNNNNNNNNNNNNNNNNNNNNNNNNNNNNNNNNNNNNNNNNNNNNNNNNNNNNNNNNNNNNNNNNNNNNNNNNNNNNNNNNNNNNNNNNNNNNNNNNNNNNNNNNNNNNNNNNNNNNNNNNNNNNNNNNNNNNNNNNNNNNNNNNNNNNNNNNNNNNNNNNNNNNNNNNNNNNNNNNNNUUUUUUUUUUUUUUUUGGCCAAGGAAAAUGUCUACAUGAUGUUCUCUGUCGUAGUUCAAUCUUUACGAUAUUCUCACGGUGAUUGUUGUUAUCUUGUCAGUGGGUGUAGGAAAUACCACAUCGCCGUCGCAGGAAGAGGGAUGCAGAUGGUUGAGUUCUUGCCGCCUAAAGACGACUCGAUGAAGAUAGCGUGAGAACAGCCUGGUGGCGCGUCGUGGAAUUAGUUCCUGCAAGCGGGAGGGUGCGCAGUCAGUUUUUUGGGGAUGAUUUGUAACUCCAUUUGAUGUGUAGCUCUUUCCGAGAGAGGGGAUGAAUUACGGAAUAGUCAUGAUCUGGAAAUCUGGUGCCAUGCAUGGAAGGCUGGCUUGAUUUGCUUGAAUGGAACAGAGGAAUCAUCUGGAUGGAAUGUUCUGUGGCAAAGCCAUCUGAUCCCUUUCAAUGCCAACAGGAAAUAUUCACCGAUAACACUGAAAAACCAUAUUCUAAUGCUAGCAGUAAGUUGGAUUGAACCUCUCGUUUCUUUUCAUUUUGCUCGAUCGUUCCCCAAGUGAUCCCUUGCGUGGAUUCAUAACCAACUUCAUGUUUUGAAUCAAGAAUUUUUUGUAAGUAUCUAGAAGCAUUUGAGCAUUGCAUUGAGCUAACGCUCUCUAUAUGGGACGCCAAUGUUCUCCCACGGCAGCGUUUGUUAGAUUACAUAGCUAGGUGAUUAUUUUAGUUGCUCUUAUGAAACCCCUAAACCCUCCAAAACCUUAAAUCCCUCAUUUAAAAAAAAACACAUGACAGGUGUUGACGCGUGGCUACCUUUUAGUCCCGGUCGGUGUUAUGAACCGGGAUUAAGGAGGUGUUCGGAGUCUCACCAGCUCCGUGAAAUUUUGGGAGUUGCAGAGCCGUGCAACAGUCGCUCCGUCACUUUGAACCAGAACUCCACCUGCUCCGGGAGUAGAGUUGUGGGGUGGAGGUUCUCCGAACAGGGCCUAAAGGUCCUCCUGCCCGGGUGCCCCACAGUGGCCACGUGAAACUCCUUUAGUCUCGGUUCAUAAUGCAACUGAAACCAAAAGUUGGGGCCUUUUAUCCCGAUUGCUUAGUCCCGGUUGCAGAACCGGGACUAAAGACCCUUAUAAACCGGGACUGAUGCACUUUUUUUACUAGUGGUUUAAUGUGAGGGUUGUCAGGACAGUUGCAUGUCCAUCAAUGAACAUGAAACUAUAAGCAUUGAAACCCGACUACAACUACACGGAGUAUAAAGCGACUGCAAUUGAAUGGGGAGGGAGUUGUCAGGACCGUAACCCGACUAUAAUGUAUGGGCACAAAGCGACUUUAACUAGGGUCACGAGGGGUCUGUCGGACGAGUUGCAUGUCCACCACUAGACAUGCAAUCACAAGCAUUAUAAUCCGGCUUCAACUAUAUGUGCACAAAAGCGACUGGAAAUGGGGGUUGGAAGAGGAGUUAGUGCAUAUCUUUUUUACUUACUAACAUAAAACUCAGUGAGCUCCAAACGCUCACAAUUUUUAUCUAUUCUUUUUUAUUUUUUACUAAGUCACAUGUAUGCGAGUUGCACAAAUUGCAACCAUUGCAACUACAUGUAACAGGUGCCACUCCUUUUUUUUUCUUAUUUAGUCGUACCAACUAUCACACCACACAUGUAAUUAGCUCAGUGUCGCGACUACAUACGUCUCAACAUGCAUGCAAUUGCAUGCCAUACAGAGCAUUUGCAACUAUGUUUUCUUAGCAUUUUCAAUAUAAUUUUCAAAAUAGGAAAUGACAACAAGAAGGAACAAAAAAAGCAAAAGAAUAUUAAAAAGAAUUCUAGUCGCAUGCAAAAUUUACAACACUAUACUUAUCCAUGGAGAAAAAACGAAGGACCUAUACGAGCCCAAUCGAGCUACGUGUGUACACUAAUUAAUCAAUAAAUUAAAACUUUUUAAACUGGAAACGAGCUGAAGUUUGGAUAAAAGGAAAAAAAAUGAAAUGAUUCAACAACAGUCUUGAAAAUUCUAAGGAAAAACGUUCAACUGGCCCAACAACCACUCAAGUGGCCCAAGACCAGAAACGUACCCAAAAAAAUACCGUACACACUCAGCUGCCCAAGCCCAUAAGAAAACUAAAAAAAAACUAACAACCAGCCCAUUAGCAUGCCAAUGAAAACGGGCUACCACAACAAAAGGUGAUGUCAGCUGAUGUCAUGUGAAUGAAACCAAAUCUCUCCCUAACAAUAAAGCAAAAACGGUUUCUGGUCGUCCGUCUUGAAAAUUAUCCCUAAAGUUUGCAUAAAUUAUCCACUAUGCCACCGGUAAGUAAUAAAAAACGUUUCAUAAAGCAAAAAAUCUUGGACUGGGCCAGCCCAUGUAAAAACGUCCUAUAUUACGCUCUGCAUGCUGGGAGAAUAUCCAACACACCGUAUGGGCCAGCCCAUGCACAGGCGCCUGCUUUUAGUUCCAUUUAUUUAUUUAUUUUCAGUUCCGUUUUAUUUUUUUAUUUUAAAUAAUUUAGAACUUCAAAUAAUCUUUAAAAUUUUAAUAAACUGAAAAUUAUAAAUCAACACAUUUCAAAAAUUAAAAUGUUUGUGACUUCAAAAACUGCUCGGAGUUUUGUAAAAAAUGCUCCCAUAUACAAUAAAAUGUUUGCAAUUUUAGAAAAAUAUUUGUACAAUAAGAAAAGUCCAUGAUCUCAAAUACAAUUCCAUAUAUUAAAAAUUAUUAAAGGCAUUUAACAAAAUGCUUUCUAAUUCAAAAUAUGUUAAUGAAUUUAAAAAAUGUCCUAAUAUUUUAAAAAUAGCUAAUGUCUGUUUUGAUAGUUUCUUUUUUUUAUUUAAAAUUUUCCUUUCCAUUUUUGUUUAUUUAUAAUUUAAAUAAUUUAGAAUUACAAAAACUUUUAAAAUUGUUCCCAUAUUUGUAAAAUUGUUCAAAGAUCUAAUGUAUGUAGUUAAAUAUUAAUGCUUCUAAGUCUAUGUGACAAUAUACCUGUAUGAAUUUUGAAGAAUUAACUGUUGGAUGCAUCGGAUUAUUAUUGUAUGUUUUCUAAAAAAAUCUUGAAAUUCAUAAUAAAUCUUUGAGUUACCAAAUUUUUUGAAAAUGUAAAGAUUGCUUCAACUUGUGAAUAAAUUUAAAAGAAGAAACAUUUUCUUGCAUUUGUGUACAAAAUUUCUAAAUCAAGCGAUGAUAUGUGAACAUAAUGUGUUCAUCAUCAUUGAAGAUUAUGUUUUUUUUUCUUCCGUGGCAACGCACUCAUCUAGAUGAGUUCUAGACACACCCUUAAAAAAGGCGAGGUGAGACCAUUUAGUAGGAGAACAAAUCCAGCCUUGUACACUCAUCCAUGAGUAGCUCGAUGGAUGAUCUCAACCUAUGGUAUUGGAUGGAGAUUGCGAGGUCCAUAGCGGUGUCAGCCUUUUUUUAUAUCCCAUUGGUUGGGCCGGACAGUAGCAAGGCUCAGGCGGGUUGGUGGGGUGCGCCAUUGAAAAGAAGCCUUGGUCAAUACAUGACGGUGAACUGACAAAAACAAUCUGUGCUUUUUUUAUUAUAGUUAAAGAUACAAAAUGUUUUUCCUUCCAUUUCAUGCCUUUUGGGUUUUGGCAGAAAAUUCUUUAUUCUCAAGAAAUAACCGUAAAAUUGUAAAAAUAAAAAAAUAGUGCAAGUGAGAAACAAAUAUAUUUUCCGAAAAUGAACAGGGAAGAAGAUACUGCAGUGGUGCACAAAUACAAAGUCAAAAAUCGUUGGAACUAAAAAGAAUAUUGAACCACAAAGAAAAUAAAUUCAACACAUUCAAUUGCUAAGAUGAUUGUAAAUAUUAUUACUCCCUCCGUCCCAAAAUAAGUGUCUCAACUUUAUACUAGCUCUAGUAUAAAAUUGUACUAAGCUUGAGACAGUUAUUUUGGGACGAACGGAGUAUGAUACAUCAAAGAUAUACAAUGAUGCGUACUAUUAUCCAUGAGUUUUCUAUUUUGGCAGCAUAUAAAAGUAUGAGUUUAUGGAGAAUUGAGUUAGCCCAAGUAUCUAGGCUGGUCUAGAGUUGGCCAUCUGUACUGAAAAAAAGCAUUGUUCCCUUUCCUGCCAAUAGAAUGUCAAUCGACUCUUGCCCUGCCACCACGCACUUUAAACAAAAAGAUAUUUCCGAUCGACUUUUUAGUACCAAGACAUCCUUUUUUUCGCACAUUUCCCGUACGCUAAUCAAUCAACUUAAUCUACUUACGGUCUGCAUCAUUUUAAUUUAAUUUGAGUGUGAUUUCAACAUUUGGAAAUGGAACAUGUGGAUUAGGCUAUAAUGUAGACUGAAAAACUGUGAGGGGGAAAAAUUACAAAAUCAUGAUGCUAUUUUGAGCAAUACUCUCACCCCCACCCCCUCACCCAAAAACCUUUAUAUAGCCACUCUUUCACCUAUGUAGCAUAUUUUUUCUCUUGCCACCUACUUUGGACAAAACCUGAGCAUAUUUUACAAAAUUAAGAGCAUCUCUAGCAGACCCCUUAAACCACGGAACUUGCGAAAAACGUGUUUUAGUUGAGCUGCCACCGAACAGAACUCUUACAGUUAAACUGUAAAUCAAAUAUCCGUUUUUUUAUUCUUUCUCAAGUCUUCUUCUUUCUCUCGCCCGUGUCCAUAGACGAUGCACGAAGCAGUCAAAUACGAAACCACCAGCGUUCAGAACAACGCACGAAGCUAGCUCGUCCGUGGCCGGAUCGAUCCAGGAGCUCCUCCUUCGUCGUCUUAGCGAGCUCCUCCGUAGUUGUUCGAGUUUCCGACAAGAAUCGAUCCAAACGGCCAAAUAAGGAGCCGCAGUCGCCGUAGCUAGUUGAAUCAAUCCACGAGCUAGCUAGCUAGCUAGCNNNNNNNNNNNNNNNNNNNNNNNNNNNNNNNNNNNNNNNNNNNNNNNNNNNNNNNNNNNNNNNNNNNNNNNNNNNNNNNNNNNNNNNNNNNNNNNNNNNNNNNNNNNNNNNNNNNNNNNNNNNNNNNNNNNNNNNNNNNNNNNNNNNNNNNNNNNNNNNNNNNNNNNNNNNNNNNNNNNNNNNNNNNNNNNNNNNNNNNNNNNNNNNNNNNNNNNNNNNNNNNNNNNNNNNNNNNNNNNNNNNNNNNNNNNNNCUAGCUAGCUAGCUAGCUUGCUCGCUCAAUCGAUUCAAGCGGGCAGAGGAAGUAGCUGGCUACCUAGCUGAAUGGACUCGAGCGGCCGCGGGCAGGCGCAACGGCCGGCGUCCGUGGACGGGCGGGGCGACUUCCGGGGUGGCGAACGGCGUAGACGGCGGAUGCAGAAGUUUCCAUGGUAGUUGGCCCCCCGUCAAAUGCUUUCUCUCGAUACAGGUCACCGUAUAAGCGGACGCGAAAACUGUGUUUUGCAGAUCAGGAGGAGUUUUUUGCCGUGCCCCUUAAAUUUUUUUAUAGAUCAGAGUCGUUUACGGGUUCUAUUGGGACCUUUUUUCCACCUAAAAUAAACCGAUGAUUAUUUUACAGUUUCGCGAGUUAUAUGGGGUCUGCUAGAGAUGUUCUUAAAGGGUAUAAUGCAACGUUUUCUAGUUAUCAAUUUAAGUGCAUGACAAUGUCAUUGCCGUGCCACAAGUGUGUUUUAUUGUCUACUAUUAAGGAGAAGGGGGGGGGGNNNNNNNNNNNNNNNNNNNNNNNNNNNNNNNNNNNNNNNNNNNNNNNNNNNNNNNNNNNNNNNNNNNNNNNNNNNNNNNNNNNNNNNNNNNNNNNNNNNNNNNNNNNNNNNNNNNNNNNNNNNNNNNNNNNNNNNNNNNNNNNNNNNNNNNNNNNNNNNNNNNNNNNNNNNNNNNNNNNNNNNNNNNNNNNNNNNNNNNNNNNNNNNNNNNNNNNNNNNNNNNNNNNNNNNNNNNNNNNNNNNNNNNNNNGGGGGGGGGGGGGGGGGGUUAGUACGUCGUUCCAUACCCCUCCUCGACUAACUUCGAUUCCUCGUCCCACCUCCUCCCAUCACUGAUUUUAGAUGUAUACCAUUACACUGAACGAAUAUUGUAAAUGUAAUAUUACAUUGCUGACGAGGCUGAAGAAAAUAUAUGUUCAGAUUAUGUUCUUUGUUUUAAAUUCCCGAUAAGAUAUUUAGGAAGUAUUGUAAUAAUGUGUCUUUAGUGUCCAAUUAGAUAUUAAUAUUGAAUCAUAGACGUGUCGAUUGAGAAGAAUGAGUGCACUCAAACUUCGCUAACAUUGGCAUUUCGCAAUUAGUGCAUGAAAGUAGAUUAGUCAACUACAAAUGGUAUAAUUUUACUAGUCAUGGAUUAUUUAUUUAGUCUUAUCAUGAUAUAUAACUUUGUACAAACAUUCAUAUAGAAAAUGAAGGACGGAGUUAUGUUCCAAAAAUUCUCAACAUCUAAGGCGACUUGUAUAACAUGAUGUAAGCGGAGCAAAAACGCAUGUCACUAACAGUAGAAAAGAAAAUGCCUAGAACUAUCUCCAUCCGUAGGUAUAUGAAUUUAUCCAAUAAUGCAUGUAACCAAAGUGCGUACAUUUAUAUAUUUAUAUAGAUAAUAUAAUUAUUUGCACCACAAAUCUCUUGGUAAUACAAUUAUUAUUUGGUAAUGUAUUAAUUUAGAGACAUGAGGUUUAUUACGCAUGGGGCAUGGCCCGCGCAUCAGCUUCAACGUCAUCGGCAACAGUCGACAUGGAUUUUGCUCGAGGUUGAGCAGCCAGCUUCAAGUCGAGCCAUGCCUGCACGCCCUUCCGCACGUUCUCGCUGUCGUCGGCGCGGUCGCGGAAGGUCUCCACGUCGGCCAUCUUGCUGGCGAUGCUGGACAUGACCAGCUCCUUCUUCCACUCCUCCACCGGCGCCAAGUCGGAGUACUUCUCCCCGAGCUCGUACAUCUUCUGAGGGUCGAUGCCGCCGAUGUUGUGGGUGUGCUUCCACGGCACGCCGGCGGCCUCCCUCGCGCGGAGGUGCUCCUCCACGGACCGCACCAUCUCCUCCUCCGCCGGCAGCGUUUUACGGCCGGACAGCACCUGCGCCACCCACCGCGCCUGCACCUCGAAGAACCACGGGAUGAGGACCUUCCUCACCACCCCCACGAAGGAGAGCGACGGCGGGAACACGUGCUCGAACAGCGGGCCGACGACGUAGCCGUCGCUGUCGACGGUCACCGCGCCGCCCGUGUCCAGGAACGGGAACGAGUAGGUGUACCCCGUGCAGUAGAUGACCGUGUCGGCCACGACGGAGGAGCCGUCCGCGAACUCCACGCGCCCGUCGGCGUGCAGCCGGCGGAUCCGCGUGUGCAGGCGCAGCACGUCGCCGUGGUUGGCCAGCAUCCUCGACACGUCCGGCGUGGCGGCCGUGGCCUCGGAGCUCGCGGCGAGGUGCACCUCCCUGGCCACGCGGCAGAGGUCCAGCGCGAUGUCCUUGCCGCUGUCCCCGCACCCGGCCACCACCACCGCCUCGCCGCGGAACGGCUCCGGCGUCCUGUACGAGUGGCUGUGCAGCUGCCGGCGCGUCCACUCACCCAUGCCCUGGAUGUCGGUCGGGAGCAUCGGCUGCGAGUGGUGGCCGUUGGCCACCACGACCGCGUCGAACACCUCCUCCUUCUCCCGCGACUCAUCGUCCUCGGUGCUGCCGAGGAGCCGCACGGACCUGACCGUCCACUGACGCGUCGCCGUCGUCGCCGGGGCGACGUGCAGGACCCGGGUGUUGAGCCUGACGACGUCCAUGAGGCCGAAGGCGUCGCAGAAGUCCCGGAGGUAGCAGUGCAGCUCGCGGUGGGCGGGGAAGCGGCGUGGGUCGCGGCCGGCGCCUUCCCUGGGCAGGAACUGGAAGUCGGAGAAGCCCAUUGCCUCCCGCGGGCUGAUGAGGCGGAGGCACGCGUAGAUGCUGCUGGGCACGCGCACCGGCGCUGCGGCGCCGAGCGGGUCCUCGCCGUCGGUCAGCGGGUCGUACAGCCACUGCCCGCCGACGUCGCCGCUCUGCUCCAUGACGGUGACGGCGUGGCCCUCCCGCCGCAGCUCGCGCGCCGCUGCCAGGCCGGCCACGCCGCCUCCAACCACGCACACGCUCUUGGACUGCAGCGCCGGCUCGCCGUCUCCAGCAGCCAUGCCGACGCCGAUCGGUUGGUCGACGGUUGACGCUCUGCUUUCCUCUGUCACCUUGGUGGGUCGAUAAUAUGAUUGCUAACACACCACGAUGACUGUCAUCCAUGUAUAUUUUUAUUUUAUUAUUGGACACCACUGUCACCCAUGUGUUAGUUAGCCAGAGGAGAAAAACAAAUAAAAUUGAGUCGUUCGUCGCACAAACAAAAGGAUAAAAUUGCAAGAUUUAUUUGUAUGGAUGGAAAACAAGUUGGUCCUGCAGCGUUUCGUUAAAAAAAUAACCUGGUCGAUCAUGUCCUUGGCCGUGGCUCUUGUUUGCACGCCGACGUCAGCGUGAUCAGAGCAUCUAGAACAGCCGGACAGACGCCCCUAAAAUAUGUGGUAUUUGAAUGGGUAACAUCAAAUGUGCGUACUUACCCCUCCGUGCCCAAAUAUAAGUCUUUUAAGAUAUUUUAUUAGGUGUCUACAUACAAAGCAAAAUGAAUGAAUCUAUACUCUAAAAUAUGUCUAUAUACAUCCUAUGUAGUCCAUUAGUUGAACCUGUAGAAAGACUUAUAUUUAGGAACGAAGGGAGUAGGAAACAAUUUAGGUGCUUUGCAUGAAUUUAAAGGAUAAAAUAUGUGGUAUUUGAAUGGGUAACAUCAAAUGUGAGGUUUGAUCAGUCAUUACGCGCGGACACAUUUACGAGUGUUUAAUGAACAGGAUUUGCAAGUCUUUACGUAAUAACAAUAGAAUUUGCCCCUAAAAUUCGCAUGAACUACCGCAAUGCCACCGGUAAAUAGAAAAAUGAUUCUUUUUUUUUUCCAGAAGUUUCUUGUAAUUCAACAGGUAACGAUCCCUCAAUAUCUACCUCUUUAUUUUUACUAUUAAUAAAGCACAUAUUGCUUCUGUGGUACGUCAUGAAAAUUGCCUCUGAAGUUUGCAUAAAUUACCCACCAUGCCACCGCUAUGUAAUAGAAAACGUUUCACAAAGCGAAAAAUCUCGGACUGGCCCGGCCCAUGUAAAAGCCUCCUAUAUUACGCUCUGCACCCUGCAAGAAUAUCCAGCACACCGUAUGGGCCGGCCCAUGCACAUGCGCCAGUUUUUUUAGUUCCGUUUAUUUAUUUAUCUUCAGUUUCAUUUUAUUUUUCUAUUUUAAGUAAUUUAGACCUUCAAAUAACCUUUAAACUUUUAAUAAACUGAAAAUUCUAAAUCAACAAAUUUUAAUAAAUCAAAUGUUUGUGACUUCAAAAACUGCUCGGAGUUUUUGUAAAAAAUGCUCGCAUAUGCAAUAAAAUGUUUGCAAGUUUGAAAAAAUGUUUGUAAGAUAAGAAAAGUCCAUGAUUUCAAAUCAAACUCCAUGUAUUAAAAAUUAUUAAUGCAUUUGUUAAUGUCAAUUCAAAAUAUGUUAAUGCAUUUCAAAAAUGUCCUAAAAUUUUAAAAAUAGAUAAUGCCUGUUUUGAUAGUUUCUUUUUUUAUUUAAAUUUUUCCGUUCCAUUUUUGUUUACUUCUAAUUUAAAUAAUUUAGAAUUACAAAAGCAUUUGCAUAUUGAAAAUAGGAAUUUUGAAUUAAAAUGUUGACGAAAACAUAAAAUGUUUGUGGAUUCGAAAAAGGCACCGGAUUUUUAUAUUACAUUUUUGCAAAUUUCAAAACAAUGUCCGUGAAUUUAAUAAAUACAUUACUGACUUAUAAAAAUGUUUGUUUAUUCAAAAAAACUUCAUGCGUUUCAAAAAUGUUUGUGAAUUUAAAGUAAAUACUCCAACAUCUAAAAUUAUGUUCGCCUUUUCUAGAAUUGGUCGCCAAUUUAAAAGAAAAUAUUUAAACCCGUUCGAAAUAUAAAAAUAUUCAUGAUUUUUAGUAAAUGUUUGUAAAUUGUAAAAAAUGUUCUCGAUUUGAAAAUUGUUCUCAUAUUUGUAAAAUCGUCCAUGAAAGAUCUAAUGUGUGUAGUUAAACAUUAAUGUUUCUAAGUCUCUGUGAAAAUAUACCCGUGUGAUUUUUGAAGAAUUAACUGUUGGAUGGAUCGGAUAAUUAUUGUAUGUUUUCAAAAAAAAAUCUUGAAAUUAAGAAUAAUUCUUUGAGUUACCAAGAUUUUUGACAACCAUGAUUUUUUUUGAAAAUGUAAAGAUUGCUUUAACUUGUGAAUAAAUUUUAAAAAAGAAAUAUUUUCUUGCAUUUGUGCACAAAAUUUCAAAAUCAAGUGAUGAUGUGUGAAUAUAAUGUGGUCAUCAUCAUUGAAGAUUAUUUUUUUUUUCUUCCGUUGCAACGCACGGGCCAUUUUCCUAUACUAAUAAAGCAAACAAUGCUUCUGUCGUACGUCAUAAACAUUACCUCUAAAGUUGCUCAAAAUUACCCACUAUGCCAUCCAUAAUCAAAAGAAAACGGUUUUUUUUUUAUUACAAAUCGCUCCGUCCUGUACUGGUUUAUAAGAGGUUGAAGCGCUGUUUUGGCAACAAAGCUAAGCUAGCAUACUGGCGAGAGCGCGUCCCUUGUCCUGGCAUACUGGCGAGAGCGUGUCCCUUGUUCCCAGGACACCUGGGUUCGAAUGCAGGUUGAUGCAAUCAGGCAAUUUUUUUCCUUUUUUGUUUACCUUUUCUUCUUUUCUCCUAUCAGGCUGAUUCAAAUCAAAGCGAUUUUUGUUUAAUUAUUUUUAUUCUUCUAUCAAGCUGAUUCAAGUCAAGCGAUAUGAAUUAGGAGGAGAAGAUGAAAUGGACUAUUUGUCAAAGAGGCCAACUAUCUAUGAUAGGUUGUCAGAUUGUUUAUUUUUUUCCCUUUUUUGUUUACCUUUUCUUUUUUUCUCCUAUCAGGCGAUCCAAAUCAAAGCGAUUUUGUUUAAUUGUUUUUCUUCUUCUAUCAGGCUGAUUCAAGUCAAGCGAUAUGAAUUAGGAGGAGAAGAUGAAAUGGACUAUUUGUGGAAGAGGCCAACUAUCUAUGAUAGGUUGCCAGAUUGUAUACCACUAACUAGACCGCGAACAAUUUUUUUUUGCCCCAAUGGCCUCUGGAUUAGUUUAUCUUGAUUACUUUCACUCAUGUACGACAGUAUGCAUGCGAGCACAACGGCGCCCGACGUACACAACAUCGACCAGAUAUGCAUACAGAGUGGUUGCUGGAUGUUAAAUCUAUUUUCUGCUCCCAUGCGACACAUGGACAAUGGAAAUUUGAAUUGCAUUUUUAGGGUAAGUUCAUCUUUGUUUGUGUUGUAACUAAAUUUUUUUAGAUUAUAGAUCAAUUUUUAUAAAUUAAGAGUAUGUGGUAUUUUUUUCUUCCGUUGCAACGCACGGGCCCUUUUGCUAGUAAAUCAUACGUUUGUAACCAUCCCAACUGGUUGGUUUUUUUGCUUCCACCUUGAAGACCCAGGGUUCGAUCACCCACUCCCAGUCCUUCCUUUCGAAAUCUGUAAUUGAGUAGUACUCCUUCCAAAUUUCAUUUUCACCUUUUUAGGUGAAACAUGUGGCACAUUGCAUGUGUGCCAUUUGUUGCAAUCUAGAAGUUUUCUUUUUUCAUUGAUCUGAAUUUUUAAAAUAUUUUAUCUUCUAAACCGUGCGUUCAAAUCUCGAACCAUUUUCACUGUUGGGUUCAUCACGUCGUGAUCUUUAAAACUAGAUCCCAUAUAUUAUAGGUUUUGAUAAAAAAAAUUCACGAAAAAACCUGAACGGAAAAACCGUGCCUCUCCUGAUGGAAAAAACCAGAAAACGCGUUUUUUCUGUUUCUCACGUAAAAAAAAUACCGCGGUUUUUUCUGUUUUCGAGAGGCACAACCUUGCCUCUCACGAAAAAAAAACGGUCCGAGAGGCAUGUCCGUCCCUCCCACGAAUGCAAAAUCGUACCUCUUAGACAAGCAAAAUCGUGCCUCUCGUAAAAAAACACUUUAUUUUUUGUUUUCAAACCAUGCCUUUUUGGAAAGCGAAAUUGUGCCUCUUGCAAAAAAACACUUUGUUUCUUGUUUUCGCUCGCGAACGUAAAACCGUGCCUCUCGAGGAAGCAAAGUCGUGGCUCUCGCGAAAAAAACACUUUGUUUUUGUUUUUUCUCGCAAACGCAAGACCAUGCCUCUCGGAAAGCAAAAUCGUGCCUCUUGUAAAAAACACUUUGUUUUUUGUUUUCGCUCGCGAACGAAAAACCGUGUCUCUCGGGGAAGCAAAAUUGUGCCUCUUGCAAAAAAAAAUUUGCUUUUUUUUCGCUCACGAACGCAAAACUGUGUCUCUUGGGGAAGGAAAACCGUGCCUCUCCCAAAAAAUUCAGAAACUUUUUUUUUCAUUUGCCUUUUGCAAACGCAAAACUGUGCCUCUCAGGGAAGCAAAACCAUAUCUCUCGCAAAAAAAAACAGAAAUGAGUUUUUUCAUGCAAAAAAUAAUUUUUUGAAAAUAUUUUUCAUCGAAAAGCUAAGAAAGACCAGUGAAAAACGAAACCCAAAAAUAACUGAGAAAAAUAAUCUAAAAAACCAAAAACGCGUGUGAAGAAAUAAUAAAUGAAAUCGGAAGUAAAUGCUCAGGGCAUGAUACAUGAUGACGACUAAGAACGCGUCAAAUGAUAACAUGUGAGUAUGAUCACAUGAAAGGCUUUUAAAAAAAAUGCUCGCUAACUAGUUGCUCUCUCUUUUUCCUCAUCCUUUUCUCUAUCAGAAUCCGCGGCUCAGUGCACUGUCUCGCCGACUGGACAGCCCAACGCAGCUUUCAGAAAUAUCUACUUUUCAAGCCUAGAGAAAUAUCUAAUUUCUUUGACGUAUAUUAUUAAGAAUGGGCACUAAAUAUGGAGCAGAGUAAUUGCCUUCCUGUAGCACCUAGCUCGAACUACAAACAACAUGUUGGUCCAGGUUCGAAUCACACAUUAUAUAUUUUUCUCAUACAUACAAAACAUUUCUUACAUAUUCAUAUUUUUUUAAUUACACACAAAAUUGCAUAAAAUCUAGAAACAUUUAAAAAUAAUAAUCUACACAUUUUUUAAAUGUGUGAUUUUUAAAUGUCACAAACAUUUGUUUUGGUAGCUAUUACCUUUUUUAAAAGUUAUGCUGACAAAGCAUUUACACUGCAUUAACAUUUUCAAUUUUUAAUUUUAAUUAUUUAGAAGUAAAUUAAGUUUUUGGGUUAUAUGUAUUGAAAAUAUAUUUAAAAGUACAAAUAAAAAGAUAAGGUAUAAUGAAGAAACAUAAAAAUGGGGACUAACCUGAAAGUUGGUCUGACGCAUUAUUUGCAGUUGGGAGGGUGCUCCUUUAGUAAGACCUUCUUCGGUCUUGCUGUGACCGAGGCCUAGGCACUCUUAUCGACUAGGAGGUCUCACCGACUUUAUUUUUAGACGAGGUCUCAUGGACCUAAACAUCACACUGGAGAUGACGGACUCACUCGUGGCUUGGGUGAAUGGAAAUCAAUUUGUAUUCGUUUAUUUUCCUCUUUAUCCUCGACUCAUCUAGACAGCUAAACAACUAUUUUGAUGGCUCAAAGUUCUGCAGAAAACUCUGAUAAAGUUCACAAGUGUGAGAUAUAUCAUUUCACACUCUAUCUAUAUUUUCAAGGGAUAUUGGACUGGCAUUUGAAUCCAAGCUCAAUUAUGCCUCAAAUUUUGUUUUCAGUUGUGAGUAGGUGAAAUAUGGAUCCAAUAUUAAUGACAUUUUUAUUCGAGUUUCUCAAUAACAUAUUAUCCCCUAGAUAUAUUUUUUAUGAAAUUUUAUUAAUGGAAUCACCACCAAAAUAUAAUGGACAACUCGGCAAAUAUUUUAGUAUGAAUAACUAGGACUUGAGUCAAAUAACAAUACUAGUCCAAAUAAAUUGAAAUUAACAUGAGUGAUUAUUUUUGACAUGAAGGACCUAGUAAAAACAUUAGGCUGAUUUUUUGCUGCCAUUUUCUUCAAAAGACCCAUUUAACUACGUAUUUGAAUAUUUUAUGAGGUAUUAAAAUCAGGGGUGUAUAUAUGCAAGGAUGCCAUGAAAUGCAAGACACAUGAUGGAAACAAUCUUCCAAACAUAAGAUUUUACAGUGUAUGUCAGUACUCGCACCUCGAAUAUGUUGUAAACUCUCCAACUUAUAGAAAAAAGAGUAUGUUGUAAAGUUGGCAUGGGAAUGCCAUGGUAACUGGUGUAGACAAGUAUUUUUUUUAAAUCAGUCACCAAAGGAAUAGGAAUCCCCACCCGUAUAUUGACCUCAAUUUAAAAAGAGGUUCAUCUGGCUUAUGUGAGAAACCGGAUCGAAAACCAUCAAUCCAGUUCAUGAUAAAAAAAACUUGACAUACAUCCUGCCGAAGCAAGAAUACAGGAAAAAAACUUAUACAUAAAUACAACAAAACACAAAGAUCAACCACCUAAACAUGAUGUACACAUAAGUCAUUUAUUGAAGGCCCACGAUUUGCAGAUGGGAUCACCGCAUACAUUGUUGCAUGAAUCACUCAUACUGUUUACAUACAGCCGGGCCAGGGCCGGGUCAAGGCUAAUCUAAUAAUGCAUUCCAGAUUGAGUUGUUCUAACUAACAAUGCAUAUGGACGUGCAACUAGUUUACAAUAAGCGAAUCAAGAAUUCAAGGGUAUAGUCAGGGGCGAAGCUACCUAUAUGGCGUGGUUUGGCCAUCGCCAUACCUAACCAGCUAUACAAAUACUCGUAUAUAUACUAUAAUAGUAAUACUGAAUCACCCUAUUGGGUUGUGGACGUGCUAAUUACAGCAGAAGCCCAUCCCUGGCUGAAUCGAUGAAGCCCAUAGCCCCACAGACGAGUACAGGACACGAUUAAUCAGAUCACACGUUCUGCUAGCUAGGGUACGCCGCACAAAAGGGACACGGCCUGCACGCUGCAUGAGCAUCUGGGCAUCCGGUAAAUCAGCCACCGAAGGCUGUGGGCGCGAAGCUGGCGACCGGCAAGGCGACAAAGGGACUCCACGAGUCUGCGAUCAGCGAGGCAGCGACCGGCGGCGACGAGCCCACGACUCGGCGAGUUCCAAGUAUGCAAAUUAACUACUUUCAAGUAGACUCGCUGAUGACGCUAGACUUAAAAUACAGUCUUCCUCCUUUUCUUGAUCGCUGAAUCUCAUUUGCUUCAGUUUCAUCAGUAGCACUAGAGAAGGUGCUAGUUGCAGUCUGCAGAUGCCGCCGCCGCCGAAUAAGAGGGUUAAAUAUGUAAUGAAAGGUAUAAUUUAGUUUACUUCUUUCACUUGAUCGCAUCACUUCAACUAUGUCAUGUACUCAUGUUACUUGCUUGAUAACAUACACAACUCUUGUGUUUUCUUACAGAUUUAAAGAUUAUUUUUGCCAAAGCCAGUGGCACUAGCACCUCGAGCUGAGCUCCAACUUUGGAAGCAGCCAUUGAACAACGAGAAGAAGAGCGUGCGCCUCAAGAGAAUGUGCGGACUGAAGUUUCAACAUAUGUUCAAGAGGAAGAGAAUGAGGGGGAAAAUUAUGUUGAGGAUGAACCAAUAGCUAGAGAAGAGGGAGAAUGCAAGUUCAUUGAAGAAUUGCAUCCUGACCACAUCGAGCCUGAUCCUGGGCUUCGAGUUCCAAUCAAUAAUUUUCAUCCCAAUAUUAGAGAUGAAAUUAGAUUGGCAUAUGUGGCAAAGGGUCCAACUCGACCGGUUGGUCAUACUUAUGAACGUGAUCAUUUUGAGAGGGCCUUUCGUGAAGCGUGGUAUGAAAAAAAAUCCUUGGUUAGAAUAUAGCGUCAAAAAUAAUGCAGCCUAUUGCUUUUACUGUUUUCUUUUUAGACAAGAUCCGGUGGAUGAAAAAUUUGGUCAUACUACCUUCACGAAAGAGGGCUACAGUACUUGGAAGAAUGCAUACAAAGCAUUUCCUCUUCAAGUUGGUGGCCCUGGGAGUGUCCACAAUCAAGCAAGGACAGCAUAUGAAGAUUUCAAAAAUCAAAGUUCAAGUCUGGAGCGUAAGGUUACCAUAUAUAACAAAGAAUCAUUAAUCAAGUAUGAGACCCGUUUGGAAACAUCUUUGGGGAUUGUAAGUUUUCUUGCAUUGCAAGGUGAACCAUUUCGUGGUCACAAUGAAUCUGCCCUUUCUUUAAAUAAGGGUAAUUUUCUAGAGAUGCUUGAUUGGUACAAAGCAAGGAAGGAGGAAGUGAGAAUUGCGUUUGAUGAGCUAUGUCCAGGAAAUGCACAAAUGACUUCUUCAACAAUUCAAAAACAACUUGCCAAAAGUUGUGGAGAUGCGGUCCGAAGAGCAAUAAAACAAGAGAUGGGGGGUAACCUUUUUUCAGUUCUUGUUGAUGAAUCUCGUGAUAUUUCAAUUAAAGAGCAGAUGGCCUUGGUUGUGAGGUAAGCCACUGGUUACUUGAUUAUGUGUUUCAUAUUUUGCCUUAUAAUCACCUUUUUCUAAUUAACUAAUUGUACUAUUUCUUCUAUGCCUUACAGGUAUAUGAACAAGUGAGAAGUUAUUGAAAGAUUUUUGGGUAUCAAGCAUGUCAAGGAGACCACAUCAGAAGCACUAAAGAAAGCACUAGUUGAGGUUCUUGGUAAGAAUGGGCUACUUAUUGCAAAUUUACGAGGGCAAGGGUAUGAUGGAGCAUUUAAUAUGAGGGGAGAAUUUAAUAGUGUUCACAAACUUGUCCGAGAUGAAAACCCAUAUGCUUUCUAUAUGCAUUGUUUUGCCCAUCGAUUGCAGCUUGUAGUUGUUGCUGUCUCGAGAUGUUGUUCUUCCAUUGAGGAUUUCUUUGGAUAUGUGACGAUGAUUGUGAACGCCGCUAGUUCGUCUUGCAAGAGGAAGGAUAUAUUGCUUGAUCAACAACGCAUAAAUUUGUUGGCUAAGUUAGAGAGUGGAGAAAUUUUCUCAGGAAGAGGAAAAAACCAAGAAACAUCAUUGGCUAGACCAGGAGAUACAAGAUGGGGCUCUCAUUAUAAAACACUAGCCCGCAUUGAAUCAAUGUGGGAUGCAGUCAUAGAAGUGCUAACUAUUGUGCAUGAGGAUGAGCGUAAUCCCUCAAGGGCGGGAGGUUUGGUGCAGAUAAUCGAGUCUUUUAGCUUUGUGUUCAUCAUGAAGUUGAUGUUGCAAAUCCUUCGCAUUACAAAUUAGUUGUCACAACUCCUCCAACGGAAGGAUCAAAAUAUUGUUCAAGCUAUGUCUUUGGUUACAGAUGUGAAGUCUUCCUUGGCCAACUUGAGGAACCAUGGUUGGGAACCACUUUUUGAAGAUGUCAAGAUCUUUUGUAAUGUUAAUGAUAUUCCAGUACCAAAUAUGGAUGAAGUUGUACCGAGAUUCGGUCGAUCAAGAAAAGGAGGAAGAAAUAAUGUUACUCAAGAACAUUUUUUUCGUGUUGAUACCUUCUUUGCAGCGAUAGAUUCUAUCACCACAGAGCUUGAUCAUCGCUUUAAUGACAUGGCUUCAGAACUGCUUUGUGGAUUUGCUUGUCUUGACCCAAGAGACUCAUUUUCCAAGUUUGACUUGGACAAAGUUGCUAAGCUAAUAGACAUCUAUGAUGCAGAUUUCUCCAAUGAUGAUCGUAAGCGUAUAAAAAUUGAACCCGAGCUGUUCAUCAACCAUAUGAGAAGACAUGAUGACUUUAGAGUUUACCAUGAUCUUGCAACCCUAGCCAAAAAAAAUGUUCGAACUUGAAAAAAA
This 54272-nucleotide long non-coding RNA is filed under the name Hordeum vulgare. RNAcentral describes it as "long non-coding RNA (HVUL_LNC011249)". Lineage: Eukaryota; Viridiplantae; Streptophyta; Magnoliopsida; Poales; Poaceae. The record is from RNAcentral.